AAGGCAUCCACCUGACUAAUUGUCUUUUUUUUUUUUUUUUUUAAGACAGAGACUCAUUAAGUUAACUAGGUUGACCCAAAAUUGCUGAGGCAAGUAGUCUUGCGUCAGCCUCCCAAGGGCUGUGAUUACAGGCACACAUCACCAUGUCUAACUAAAUCAGUCUUCACUACUCAUGUGUGUAACAUAUGUACUUUGCUAGAACCCAAGACACAUUCUUUUGGAACAAGAGAAAAUGAAAAGAUACCUUGAUAGAGUACUUGUAAAAAGCCCUGGGGUUUUAUGCCUAGCACCAUAAAAGCCAACCUAGCAGCUCAUUCUUACAAUCCUAGCACUUGGGAGGUGAAGGUAAGAUCAGAUAUUCAAGGACAUUCCUUACAACUCAGCAAGUUCAAGCCAGCCUGGGAUACAUGAAGUGUUUGGAUGGAUAGAUAGAUAGAUAGAUAGAUAGAUAGAUAGAUAGAUAGAUAGAUAGAUAGAUAAGAUUAUAUAGAUAAAAGGAAAGAAAAUGAAAGGAAAAAGCAAAUAAAAACCAUUAACAUGGAUACUCAGAGUCUCAUGAUAACAUAAACAAUAUGCAUCAUUUCCUGAAAUUAAGAUACUGAAGCAUGGAAAUAGUCUUAAAGAAUCUCAAGGAAAGAAAUACUUAGAAAGAAGGACCCGAGGAAAUACAGGGCCACAGCAGCCCUGUGUGAGGCAGAGGGCUGCGCUCUCUCUCACAGCUGUCUCUGUGCUGAGGACUGAAGCUGGGGCCUUGUGAACUCUAGGCAAGUGACUUCCCCAGGCCUUUUUUCCCCUACAGGGUCUCACUAAGUAGCUCAGGCUGGCCUUGAACUUUCACCAUCUUGGUCUCAGCCUUCUGAGAAGCUGGGCUCCCAGGCCUGCACCCAGAUCCGCCUUCACUGUGACUUAGAGAAGAAGCAAACCACUUGAGACAGGUGUCAAAAAUCGAGCUACUACAUGGCACUCUUCAUGGCAGAUAGUUUAGGAAAUAACUCAUGGUUUAUUUUUUUCUCUACAAUUUGUUAAAGGGAAAAAGAAAAAGGAAAAAGAUCUAAAUAUACCCUCUUCAAGAACUCAAAAUAAUUUUAUUUAGCAGUAGUGUAGGCCUUUCUCACACAAGAAUGAGCAUACUGAUUACAAUUAUUCCAUCACAUAAUCUGCCCUUAGCAUAUGUCUAGUUUCUCUAGAACGUGUUUGUCUCCAAGUCCAAGGCAGUGCAAAAAGCACACUAGACGGCCCACCAGACAGAACACGGACACAUGAGCGGGGUCCCCGGAGCUCACCUGAAGGGCAGUUAGUUGUAAACUACCUGAUAUGUAUGUCAGGAAGUGAAAGCUAGCCCUUUGCUCGAUCACCAAGCAUUCUCAGCCAUUCAACCAUCUCCACAUGCCCAUGUUUCCAGUUUUUAAAACUUGGUGGAGCAUGAGGCAUGUACCUUUAAUCCCAGCACUCGGGAGGCAGAGGCAAGAUCUCGGUAAGUUCCAAGGCCAGCCUGGUCUACAUAGUUGAGUUUCCAAGUCAGUCAGGGCUACAUAGUGAGACCCUGACCAAAAAAACAAAACAAAACAAAACGUUAAUGGUAAAAAUCAAACCUAAGUAAAGAACAUUGUUAUUCCCACUCUACACGCUGCUACACACACACACACACACACACACACACACACACACACACUAGAGUCAGCCUACUAAGGUGCUAAUUGAGGUGGUUCCUAGGUUCCUGGUCAUAACUUUGGUUGUAACCAAGGGAGAGACAAUAGGACCACAGUACUUUCAUCAAAGCCAAAGGCAAAAAGAGCAUGAUUGAAAAAGUUCAAGAGAUUCUAAGUUCUUAUAAAAUGCUCGAAAGUAGCCUCAUGCCAUUUAACAGGCAAGGACGACUGCCAAGGAAACCUACUGAGUAAGUCUGCCUUAACACAUUAACAGUAGGCCUUGCUUUCAAGCAGCUGACAUUAACAAUAAAAACCAACCACAGAGAUAGCAAAGCAAAACAACAUUAAGGGCCACAUGACUCAUGGGGAAAAUUAGGAUAUUUGAGUUCGAAACAGAGAGUCAUCACCAAGGACCAGAAUAAGUCUAGAAGUUCACUAAAGAUGGGCAGCAACUUAAGCAGGCUGUUAGGGAAGGGGGUGCAGCACUCCACCCACACACACAGUCCUGUCCUCCCUGCCUGUCUCUGCUCACAGGCUGCUGGUAAAGGAUGUGAACCUGACUCCUUCCAUCAGCAUUAAGCAAUAAAUGUGAAUAAGAUGAAAACUACAGAGAAAUCCUGGGUUCCUACCCUUCCAAACAGAAGGAAAAGAAGCAUCAAGAUGUAAACCAGGCAGAGAAGCCCUCAGUGCUGCUAGGGCCAGCAGUAAACAGAAUGUCUAGUGCAAGUCCUAGUUACACAAAACAUCUACUGUGCAAGAGGGGUGAGUGCCCUAGAUGAAGAGACAUCUUCCAAGGCAACAACUAACAAAAAAAAGAUGACAAUCUAGUACACAUUGUGCACACACAUACACACACAAACAUACAAGCACACUUAAAAAUAAUAAAAAUCAACAUUUUAAAAUAUUGUUAAAUAGAAGGUUAGGAAAAUAAAUCAUAUUUUAUAUGAUUUUUAUGAAUAUAGCUAUAUAUUAGCUAACUAAAACUGAAUGUCAAAUUUCAAAGGGUGUAUUUUGAAAGAGUAAUUCUACAUUAAGUACAUUCUAUCGUAAUAAGGAACAUCUGUUGAAUUCUUUUUUUUUUGUUUGUUUGGUUUUUUUGUUUUUGUUUUUUUCGAGACAGGGUUUCUCUGUGUAGCCCUGGCUGUCCUGGAACUCUUAAUAUACUGUAGACACCCGACUACAUGUUCUUCAUGAUUACCUGGUUCACAAGGACACUAAAGAAGUGAGUAGCUGCUGUUACUUUACAGAAGAGUAGUUUGGAGCUGUGCCUAGCACUCAGUAAGCAGAAAUGCAAGCGAGUAACAUUACACUGUGUGAGGCAAUAGUUAAGCUAGGAGUUGGGUAUCACACAGCAGGGUCCCACCUCUCCUCUGAAUCACUGACUGUAUAAAUAACCAUAAACCCAUCCGUAACACGGCAGUGUCCACAGACAAGGUGACAGAAGGUAGUCAAAAAGGAAAUGCUGACUUCUGGGUGAAGAGACCAAGACAGGUUUCCUAGGGAAGGUCUACAUGAAUGAGCUAGACCUCACACAGAGGUGGGGAGCUAAGUACAGAGUAGUAACCUUAGCUGAGGGCAGAGCUAGCAUGGACGACUGGCAGUGAAUGAGCCUAAACACUGCAGGGGGCGCCGAGGAGCAUGGGCUGCUCUGUGGAGAACUCAGGUGUGGCUCCCAGCACCUACAUGGCAGCUCACAGCCACCUGCGACUCCAUUUCCUGGGGAUCCAGUGCUCUCUCUUGGUCUCCCUGAGAAUGCACACAUAUGGUGCACACAAGACAAGCAGGGGAACACAUACACAAAUAAAAAUAGAUUAAAAGUAAUAACAAUGUAGGCUUGGAGCCAUAUGUUAAGAAAUCUGAAUAUUCAAAUCAGAAGUUUGGAUUUUAAUGUCAUAAUCCUACUUCACAAGCUGACCUUGGAUUCCUGCCUAAACCUGCCAAGUGCUGGGAUUACAGGUGUGUGCUACCACACCCAGUCCACUCUGUUUUCCUCUUUCUUAUGGUUUCUCUGUAAAGUCUACUUAACGCACAUCAACAUGAUGCUUUGAUACACAGUAGAUAGUAGCUGCCAUCUCACAAUCACCCUCCCCUUUCAGCAAAAACACCCAUGGAAACCGCUAAACAAAAUACAUCAUUAAUUAUAAUCUUCAUGUUGUAUACCAGGUCCCUCCAUGUAUAUUUUAAAAUCUAGUUUAGUAUGAACAGUUCCUAAGUGAACUACACAGAAACUAGAAAAACCGAAAAUCCCCCACCAUGAGAGCAGCAGAAAGAAAAGACAACAUCAAACAGGCAUUGCCUGCUUCUCACACAUGCCAGCAAUCCCAGCACUUCGGAGCCCAGGCACAGGCUGCCAGACCAACCUGUCCUACAGAGCGAGCCCUGGAUCAUGCUCUGACUUCUCAGGCUAUGCUCUAAAGGUACAAUUAAUUAAGUUCUGGUUUUCUCGUCGAAAGUAACCCAAGGGGUUCUCAAAGUAUUCGCCUUUGCUUACUCUCACCCUACUUUUUUUUCCAUCUUUCUCCUUCCAAUUUACCGUCUCCCAUUCUCUAUCACUCCUUCCAUGAGCCACCCUCUCAUUAAGGGCCCACUUUUGUCCGGAGCAUACACAUCUAUGUAUCUUUAAUUUAUGAAUCUUUAAUUCUCCUAGAGGUUUUUUGCUAUUAUCUUGGGCCUGUGACCUGCCCUCCUGAGUUUCAAACAGCCCUGCAGGGAUAACACAGGCAUACACACUCGAGUCCUCCAUGUGCAAAGCCUGCCCACGGUGCCCACCCAAGCACCCUUUCCCACUAAGCCUAGUACUCAACAGCCACUCCCACCUCCUAAGGCUAACACCCAUUUACAGACUGGUCCUGGAUGUUCCCAUCUGUGCUCCUGUGACUCUACCGGUUGAUAGAUGACAUACACCAAUCAGCUCAUCCAGCAGGUUAGGAAGGGAGCAGUUAAGAGAGCAGAGAGGUGUCUCACACACAGCCCAUCUAAGUGCGUCCAGCUUUAACUGUCAGUACGUGUACGAGAAGUUGAUACACAGCACAAGCCUUUGCCCAAUCUCAGUACCAAGAAUCCAGGCUGCAUUAACACUCAUGAAUGAAGUUAAUGGACUUAAAAUUCACAUCACCUUUAAAAAGCUUUACCUCCAGGACUCUCUCCUCAUUUCUGACUGUCUAAAUGCUUUCAAAAAGCAUUUUAGGCUCAACCUCAACUCAUGUGAAUGACGGCCCUAAUUAAGGAAAGCCAGGUGGCUAGAAUGCUGAGAGAUGAAGCCCUGGCUUAAAAUAAUUAAUCUCUCUCUGCUCAGCUAAGAUGUGAAGUGCAGCACCAAGAAGAAAAACAGAAGACUCAGAAAUGACGGCAUAUAACUAAGCUAAUUAAGAUAAAUUCUUUAAAUUGUUUACUUAGUAGCCGCCAAAUUCUAUAAGGAAAAUAAGUGCUGCUGUAAUUAUGCAGCUUCGGAUCUCAUUAGCUACCACAGUGGAAGAUUAUGUAUUGUGCAAUAAUUAUAUUUGUUGAGCCAAUAAAAUCAAAAGCUACUGUCAGAGAGCUGUGUUUGUUGCCCCUUACAACAAUAAAUCUUUUCCCUCUUUCAAAACUACACCAGACCCAGAAGAGUUCCUAAAACCAUCUCCAUAUUCAAAUUAUAAACUAUUUACUUGAUCGGUUUCUUCAACCUAUGGAGAAAUAGUUUCUGAUUCUGCACAGGUCUUUCUCACCACCUCCCUAACCAGUUAGGAUGCCACUCCAGAGAGGAAGGACUGGGAAGCUCCAGUUCUGAGAGGAAAACGACGGGCAACUGCCCAUUUCUAACCAGCAGCUCUCCUUCUCCGUCUCAUCCUCAUAGUCUCCAGUCGUCGGAUAAAUCAGGCACCAAUGCCAUAUAAAGUUAAGGCUGGUUAGUCCUCAACUGUCUCUCCACUUAGGGAAUUUUAAGCAGAAUUUUCAAAAAUACUGAAAUCCAAUGCACGGUGUGCUGGGGCUUGCUUUUAAUCCCAGCACUUGGGAGGCACAAGCAGGAGACUGGCUAGUCAAACACAGGGAGUUAGUUGCAGAGAAGACGCUCUCCAGAUCCAAUGUCUAUUCUCCUGAAGUCAAGCAUACCCUAGAAUCCUACUACCUUUGCUUUCCAUCAGCCAACGCAAUCCCAUGUGAAACAAAAGCCAAUACAAACAGUGUUUUCUUCCCCUUCCUGCCUGGCACACAAGUUUUAAUUAUCAUUUAAUUGACUUGAAGGUUACUUUCAUAGUACAAGACUUCUAGCUCAGUAAAAUACUUAAGUCUAAGAAGGAAAGCAAGCUCAGGAAAUGUCAAUUACUGGGAGGGACAAGAAGCCACAGGUCCUGAAGGUAGUUCUUAGCAAUGUUGUCGUCAAAGGCAAACAACCAUAAAACAACAACCACAACAAAUGCCUAAGAAACUAUUGUAGUUUGGGGAUGCUUUCUUUGCUAAUUUGUUUGCUUUGUUUUGUUUUGAGACAAGCUCUAUUGUAGCUCAGCUGGCCUCUAUGCGGCUAAGGAAGACUUUGAACAAGUCUUUGAACAAGCUGUACCUCUGCUUUAUAAAUCUGGGGAGCAGGAAUGUGAUGGAGAAAACUAUCAAACUUAGUGUUUAUAAAAGUUCAUCUCAGUAAGAGCAACAGGCCUGCCCACUCUGGUUCUAUCUAUUCACAGCAAAGUACGGUAUCUCUAUUGUCAAGUCCUGCAUAGGCAAGAUUUGAGUGCCAGUGACUAAACCUUAAUUAUGCCUCAUUCAGACAAGCCAAGACAUGCUACUAAACAAGGAAAGUGCUCACUGGAGGGGGAGUGAUGCAGAACACAACGAAGUCAACCAGGAAAGGCUUGGCCAGACAGUGGGCUUGAUCCCAGCACUCACGAGGCAGAGGCAGGUGGAUCUCUUGUGACUUUGAGGCCAGCCAACCGUGAAUCCCAGGACAUCUGGGCUACAUAGAAAAAAAAUUGUUUUCAAAAGAAAGCUGAUCAGUUUAAAGAUAAAUCUCUUCACACUCUUCAUACUGCACAAACAAACAAAAACUUAGGAUCUUGGUAGACCAGGCGCACAAGGCCCAAAGCUAGGUCCAACUCCCAAUACACACCCCCAAAAAUGUUACUGCCAAUAUAAGUUUUGGGGCCAGCAAGAUGGCUCAGUGGGAAAGGGUGCUUGCAACCAAGCCUAGUGACCUGGCUUUGAGUCCUGGAGCCCAUAUGAUGGCAGGAAAGAACAGACUACUAGACAUUGUCCUAUGAUCUCCACACAUGCACUAUGACACAUGAACACCCACACAUAUGUGCAUAUACAUAUACACAAAACAAAUAUGUAUGCUUAUAUUAAUACCUAAAGAAGGUAAAAAUGAAUGAUACAACAACACGUUUUAAAUGUUAUAAUAAAACCUCUUCUAUUAUACACUAAAUAAAACAAUGUUUUAAAGAAGGCAAGUAGCGAGAUGCGGUGUUGCACUCAAGCAGAGGCAGGUGAAGGCCUCUCUGAGUUGAAGGCUUAUUCUACCUAGCGAGUUCCAGGCCAACUAGGGCUACAGUAGUCACCAAACACAGAAACAAACACACACACACACACACACACACACACACACACACACACACACACACACACGGAGAGGGAGAGGGGGGAGAAUUGAGAAGAGGGGGGGAGGAGACAGGGGAGAGGGAGAGGGAGGGGGAGAGGGAGGGGGAGAGAGAAAGACCUGUUAGAGUAAUAAAUAAUACUGUUAACUGCAAAUCAGCCACAGGAGUCAACUCAGCUACCUUUUCUUGUUCUCAAACAAUUGAGACAGUGUUUGUUAAGCCUAGCAGAGGAGUCUGGCUCUAAAGGUGACAGCUGGCUACGUGAGUUGGCCUCAUGUGGACUCGGCCCACUUCACUCUUCUGAUGGUUCAGGAGCAGAAGCAGAGCUUCUAUCUAAGGACAGUUUGGAAAAGACUGUCAAUCUACAUUUGCUUCAGGCGCGGGGUGGGGUGGGGUUACCGUCUGUUCAGCAGCCAAGGGGCAUGGGAGGAGAGUGACAUGUGGCAACACCCUUUCUGGCCUCCAGUCCACAUGGGUUUGUGGUUACUCUUGUACUACAAGAGUAUCGCUUUCAGGGCUAGAGCCUGCUAAGCCCCUAGGAAAGCCAGGCUGGGGACCUGGGCUGGGAGUUUCCCUUGAGUUCCUCCAAGGCCCAGCCCAAGGCAAGAGCGGCUGGCAACCGCUGAGAGUUCCCACCUCUGCCCUAUAAAGACCACAGCUGGGAGCUAGCUGACCAGAAGCCAUUAUAAUCUCCUACUAGAACCUCAAAGACGGCUUUCACUGGAGGCUCUGGUGUGGAGUUAAAAAUCAGAAUUCUUGGUCACUAAGCAUGUUGUAAAAGUUGUCUAAUUCUCCAAACAAUAAAUGAAAUUUCCCUCUACACUGCCUACCUACAGAGUGGGAGACUGGCUAUGUAGCUUGACCACUCCAGGUUUCCUGAGAAAUUCUGAGUAUUAAACUAAUCUAUACAGGCUGCCUUAAGCAGUGUGCCCAUGACUCUGGUAUCUGAUUCCUAAAGUUGACAUCAGGUCAUCCUGUGUAAACAUACACACACCAAACUGAUCAAACUGGAUUCCAAAUCUCAGAGGUUUAAAACAAACCUGCCUGACAUACUGGUGUACACCUUUAAUGCCAGCACUCAGAAGGCAGAGGUAGACAGACCUCACUGAAGUUUCAGGCCAGCCUACUAGUCUACAUAAUGAGUUCCAGGACAGCCAGGACUAGAGAGAGAUCCUGUCUUAUUCUUUCUUUCUAAUAUAAGGAAACUAGAUUGGAAAGUGGUAAGUGACUGGGAAGGGUCAUACAGCAGGAUAGGAGCAAGAGCUGAGAAGCAGGGGUCGUGACAGGCUCUGUUCAGCCCCAGACAAGGAGAGCGCCCUACUAGUCACCAGCACUUUCCCUCCAUCUGCCUAUCCUUUAGAACACACAGCUCCUCUCUGUUCUUCACAAUAGUCUGUGUGGUAACAGGCACUAAGUCAUAGUGAAGGGUCAUUUACCAAGCAUGAUACAACACUGCGGCAGAAUGCCCAUGGGAAGCAAGCAGCAAGACAGUGUGAGAAAAUAAAGGCUUUAUUGGGGCCACAUGAUGUGUGUCUCACUUCCCCACUGGCCGCAGGAGCUACCUUAGGGCAGAAAUUCUUCACCCUAAAUCAAGUGUGGUGGUGCCAUUAAUAUUUGGGGUUAAUAUCUAUAGUUAUUCUCCAAGACCUUAAAUUAGUACAAAAGACAUACAUUCAUUUCUAUAUCAAAGUGUGUACAAUUUAAAAUUAACAUCAACCCCAGCAUGGAAGCACUCACUGUGGUAAUCCCAGCACUGGAGAAGCUGAGGAAAGAGGAUCAUUCAGUCCAGAGCCAGCCUGAGCUACUAAACAACAUGCUUCAGAAAUCAAAAACAAAAUAAGCUGGGCGUAGUAAUACUGAUCUGUAAUCCCAGCAUUCAGGAGCAAAGACAGAAGGGUAAGACUUACACAAAAAGGAGGGAGGAGGAGGGAAAGAAGGAGGGAGGAGGAGGGAAAGGAGGAGUGAGGAGGAGGAAUUGUGGACCAUCCUCCAUUAUACAGGAGAUUUCUUUAUUUAAAAGUAACAUAAAUCUAAAACAAAGCUAUCACUAAUUUUAAUUAAAUAAUAUCAGCAAAAAUUCAAUGAAAUCCGAACCCUUGGACAUUUGACACCCAUAACCCUCUGGUAGUCACCCUCUCCCCAUACGCUUUAUAACACCAUAGAGCUCAUCCAAGUUAACGUUUGCUUGCUAUGAAAAAACAAUGGCCAAAAGCAGCCUGGGGAGAAAAUGGUUCAUUCAUCUUACACUUCCAGGUAAAAGUCCAUCACUGAGGGACAGAGCCAGAGCUCAAGGCAGGCACUAAAACAAAGGCCGUGGAGAAAAUGGAAAGCUUACUGACUUGCUCUCUGGCUUAACUCAACUAUCAAACCCAGAGCCUCAGAACCAUACUAGGCAAGGACUCUACCAGCACCAGCUAUCUCUGUCUCUCUGUCUGUCUCUGUCUAUCUCUCACAGCCCAGGACCACCUGACCAGGAGAAAGGCCCUCCCAUACCAGCCAGCAAUCUACUGGAAGGAAGCAGCGCCUCAGUUGAGCCUCUUUCUUCUCGGGUCUGUAUGGGUUUAUGGCAAGUUGUCAAAACCAUGAGCAUGUUUAUCACUAUCUUUUUCCUAGAAAUUGUAUUAUUUCAUUAUAUAUAUUUCAAAGUAUUGAGUUUUAGGGCCUAGUGAUACAGCUUGGUUGACUGACUUCCCAGCACCUCAAGAACAAGCAAAGUACUUAAAAUUUAAAUAAAUUUCAACUUUAAUGUAAUGAAACCAAACUUUUUAUUUAAACUAUUUCUUUUAAUCUUAAUUACUGUCACUGCUAUUAACAUUAUACACUUUUAAAGGUCAAUGUAAAUGUAUUACACAUUUUGACAAUUAAAAACACAGUGAACUGCCUUCAAAAGGUUGUCUGGGUGUGGUGGUACAAACUUGAGAUCCCAGCACUCAGGAGGCUUGUGUUCCAAGAACCUGAAAUUAAGGUCGGUCUCCGCUACAGAAUGAAAUCAGGCCAGACUGAGCUACCAAGUGAAGGUGGGCUGCAGGGUGACACAGGCCUUAGGAGCACCUAGCACUCUUGCAGAGAUCUGGGGUUCGGUUCCCAGCACCGACAUAGUUCAACAUCAUCUGUAUCUCUAGUUCCAAGGGACCUGGCACCAUCUUCUGACUUUCAGACACACAUGUACAUAUACACAUGGAGGCAAAACACUCAUGGGCAUAAAAUACAAUAUUUUUUAAAUUGCUUAUUUUUUGAAAGGCAAAAACUUAAAAGUCAAUAAAAUAUUUAACUCUAUAAAUCAAAAGCCUGCUAAAAGUCUCUGUAAGAUAUCAUUGGACAACAUAUUUGUCCAAUGUCUACUUUUUUAAAAAAGACCUCUGAGAACUAUGGCCGGGGCCUUUGGCCUACUCACUUGCAGUGUCAGAACCUGCUUCCUCUAGAAUACUUUGUCAUUCACUCUCCAGAGUUUUGCCUGGAAUAGGGAAUGUUUCUUAGAAAUUUCAACAACUCACACUAAGAUUUACUGACAGUUGAUUCCACCGGCUGCCCUACUACCUUCUUAAGAAGAGUAAGUACAGAAGGUGUGUGAUAUGUAAAAAAGGCCUUCUCCAAAGCUGGUUUACCCCACACGCAAGGCAGACACACACACAUUUACUCCAUCUUUAUUCAUCCUCUACCUUAACUCUGCCCAAUGCGGUUACAGGCCCUGGACUAUCACCAGCCUUAAAUCAGACUGAGUCACUCUCUGCCGUGGCUACUCCUUCCCUUACUUGGACUCAGAGCACUGGAAGCUGUCACUCACAGUCCCUCAUGCCAAGAGAACAGGUGUGAAUGUGUCACCACUUAAUACAAGGUGACUGACUGUGUUAGAACCCAAGGCCUCAAGGGUGCGUGCUUGGCACGUGCUCCACCACUGGGCUAUAUCUCUGCUCCUAAAUAUGCUUAGGUGGAAUCUACAUACUAUACACUGGUUCUUUAGAUGUGUUAUUUGCCUUAAAAGACGACUCAGAGUUAUACAACCCUCACCGCCAUCCUAUUGCAGAGCGAUCCUGCCUAUGCCCACUGCCCAUCGCUCCCAUUCCCACUUCUGUGCAAGGUGCUGGGGUUUGUGACUAUCUACAGAUUUGCCUGUUUGGGGCAUGUCAUUCCGAUGGAACCAUACACUGUUGCCGUCUGUGUCUCGAUUCCAAUACUAAUGUUUUCAGGUGGUGUGGCAGCGCCAAUAGCCCACUCCUUUUUAUGGCUAAACAAUACUCCAUUCUGUAGAUGUCACAUUUUCCUUAUUCAUAAGCUGUGAAACAUGAGGUUUUUUUCCCAUCCUUUGGUUACUGUAAAUAACAGUUAUAAACAUUUAUGUAGGAGGUCAGGAGAGAAUGUUUGCAUGAUAAUCUGAGUUCAAACCCCAGAAGCCAUGAACAAGCUGGGUAGGUACAAGUAUUGACAGCCCUAGUAGGCUCCUGCAGUGAGAUAGCAGGCAGAAAGAGGGUUCCUGGAAGCUCUCAGGCCGACUAGACUUGUCUAUUUGGAAAAAAAGAAAAAGAAAAGAAAGAAAAGAGACUGUAUCAAACAAGCUAAAAGACAAGGACCCGCUCUGGCUUGUCCUCUAACAUUCACACGCACACUAGAAUUUAUGACCCAGUAACAACUAUGCAUUUCCUGAAGGAGCUGCUAAUUAUCUACCACCAGCACAAUAUACAGAAGAAUAUAUUUUAUCUUCUAUAUCCUCCUUAUAAGACCUGACUCCAACUCCAAAACAACAACAACAACAACCCAACCUCAAAGGGAUAGGCACAUGGGUCAGUAGAGAGUACCUGCUAGGAUACAGGUCCUAGCUCGAUCUCCAGCGCUGAAACAACAACAAAAACAUUUUGCCUUUUCCUUCAGCCUCCCGUACAUAUUCUCCUUUUUCUUGUUUUUAGGGAUGCUGGGGACCAAAUCCAAGACCUCAACAUGCUGAAUGAGAAGUCUACCACCAAGCUACAUCCACAGGCCAUAAGCAGGCCAAGCAGUCGUCCUGAAGAUGGGGUAAUAUGGCCGGAGACUAAGCCCAGGAACAACACCGACAUACUUACUAACCUGAAGUACCGGACGAGGCUGAGUCCUUCGGCUAUGACGGGCCACUCUGCUUCCUCCAGGCCUAGAGCACAUGCGGAGGCAGGCUACACUCUGGUUGGCUGCUUCUCUGUUGGCCUUGCAGCUAAUCUCAAAAGCCUUACCCUCAACAUCUGCCCUGUCCUCCAGCAUCCAGACACCCAUCUUUCAUCACAGACCUCCACUGCAGAGGACAGCUGGCUUGCCCAGUGGGGAACUUGUACAAGGAACGCCGUGGCUUGAAUUAGACCUUCCUUUCCAGAGUAAAACCGUACUUUCCAACAUUAGUGUCCGCGCCUCACUAGGAGGUGCCGGGUCUAUCAGGCCCCAGUGAAGCUUGUUCCUGUUACUCUGUGAGCACUGUGACUGUCUUUCCAUGAACAUUGUGUAAAAUGGCACUUCGGCUAUCUCCAUAUCCCUACCAUAUGCAACACUCUGAAUGUCACCCAAAAAUUCAGGUCCCAUCCUGAUAAGAGAUGGGGCCUUUAAAAUGGAAUAAGGAGCCUGAUGACCCAUAUUCAAUCCCUGGGACCCCCAAGGCGGAAGGAGGGAACCAAGACUGUAAGUUGUGCUCUGAUCCCACAGGCACAAGACAAAAAUCCCAUGCACAAUCAAUCAACUCAUCAGUGUAAUAAAAAAAAUUAAUGAAGCCAGGCAUAGUGACCAUGUCUUUAAUCCCAACAUUAAGGAGAACAAGGCAGGCUGAUCUCUGGAGUUCAAGGCCAGUCUGGCCUACCUAUAUCUAGUUCCAGGUGUAUCAGGGCUACCUUGCCAAAACCAAAACCAAACCACCACUACCACCACCAUCAUUGUCCUGAUCCCAAUUCCCUUGAUGUGUCAUCUAGCAAAAUGACAAAGUAUCAUGCCUUAAUUUUUUAAUUAAAAAUAGAAACUUGGCUUGGGAGCAACUCAGUGACAGACAGUAUUUUCCUAGAAAGCACAAGAUGUCAUGUUAGAUACCUGGCAACACACACAUACACACACACACGAGGGGGGGGACAGAGAGAGAGAGAGACAGAGGGACAGAGAGACAGAGGGACAGAGAGACAGAGGGACAGAAAAACAGAGAGAGACAGAGGGACAGAGAGACAGAGGGACAGAGAGAUCAGAAGGGUAUGUAUGUUAUGUGCACCCCCCUUUGUGUAUUUUAAGUGUCCACUUAAGAUUUUUGACAUUUAGCUGCCCAAAGUUGAUACCUCCAGCAAAGUGAAAGAUGAGAGAAAGGAACCAGAGUGCAUAUACUAAUUGUUCUUACUUCCACAGUACAAACAGCACACUUAAUAGGCAGAGGGGCUAUAUUUUAAAAUACACAAGGGAUUUCCACCCAGGGGACUUGGAAGCAGAAGAAAGGCCAACAGGAAAGUCACACUGAAAGCCCCAAGGAAGAAGAGGGGGGAGGGGCAUGAUUUAUUCAGUAACAAGAACCAACAACCUGCCCAGGCACUGGAGAGUCAAAAUACUCAGACCUCAAGGGCUUAAAGUCUCCCCAGGAGGGUGGACAGUAGGAACCACAGGAGCAGAUGACAGCAGCAAUCACCAUUACAGUACAGAGAGCACAGGCUUGUCUGGGUUCAAAUCCCAACUCUGCUACCAAACAGCUAUGUGACAGGACAAGAGACUUCACAGUCUUUUUUCCAAUGACCUCAUCUAUAAAAUGAAUGCAUCGUAAGUCUCACUGUUUCUUCACUGACACUAAAUCAUUCAGUAGCUAAGUUGCUCUGUAGAAGUACUCAGCCCAAUUGCCCCCUGGCAGCAGUAACACCCACAUGUCUGCUUCGACACUCUAGGACUCUAGGUCGGUGGGUCACCUCGCUAUGCUUUCAAAGGAACGGACUCUAUCUUGAUGCAAAUGGGAGGUCAGGAAAACAGUAGCUGAGAAACUGACACCUACGUUCCAAACACAAAAUCAAAUACAAGGCAGGCAUACAGAGGAAGUGUGUCCAGCAGACAGAAUGUAUGCAAAGUCCUGGGCUAAAACUGAGCAUGUACAGAGACAAAGUUUGGAGCUGUGACGAAAGGAUGGACCAUCUAGAGACUGCCAUAUCCGGGGAUCCAUCCCAUAAUCAGCUUCCAAACGCUGACACCAUUGCAUACACUAGCAAGAUUUUGCUGAAAGGACCCAAAUAGAGCUGUCUCUUGUGAGACUAUGCCGGGGCCUAGCAAACACAGAAGUGGAUGCUCACAGUCAGCUAGUGGAUGGAUCACAGGGCCCCCAAUGGAGGAGCUAGAGAAAGUACCCAAGGAGCUAAAGGGACCUGCAACCCUAUAGGUGGAACAACAUUAUGAACUAACCAGUACCCUGGAGCUCUUGACUCUAGCUGCAUAUGUAUCAAAAGAUGGCCUAGUCGGCCAUCACUGGAAAGAGGCCCAUUGGACUUGCAAACUUUAUAUGCCCCAGUACAGGGGAAUGCCAGGGCCAAAAAGUGGGAGUAGGUGGGUAGGGGAGUGGGGGGGAGGGUAUGGGGGACUUUUGGGAUAGCAUUGGAAAUGUAAAUGAGGAAAAUACCUAAUAAAAAUAUAAAUUAAAAAAAAAAACUAAAACUAAACAUGGCACAGCAGGCACGCAGGACAGUCUAGGAAACCUGUGCUUCAGGUAUUACACAAGAAGUAAUACAGAACAAGAGUUGUUUUUCUGUCUUUCUUUUUAGGUCAUUCUGCUAAAAUGUGGAGCCAGCUGUGACCAAGGGAGAUGACACAAGCCUGAGGGAAGCCGGGAAAGAUUCAGAAAAAAAAAAAAAAAAACAGUCAUUGGAGGAGAGACAAGUGAAGCCAGCUACAGACAAAUGAGAAGACUUUCACAGAGGACAACAAGCACAGAUGUGGCAAGAGCUCAUGAAUUAGUAAUAGAACAAAUUAAUACGAUUAAAUCAUUUCUUUGGGCCUAGAACGGGGCCACAGAAAAGGACAACAUUGUUCACCCACAGCUGGAGAUCCGCAUGGCAUGAGAGAGGAACAAAGAUGCGGGAGCAGUGACUCACUGAGUGACCAACCAUGGUGUCCAUAUGCAGCAGAGUAGUGCCAGGAAGAAUGUCACCAACUGGAAGUCAGGCACAAUUCAAGCGACUGGUGGCUCCCGUGAACUAUGAGACUGUCUUAGCAAAUCGCAUAACUAAAAAGCCAGAAAACCACAUUGGGUACAACGUGCAGGUCUGUCUUUCUUAAAAAGAAUUGUGUGUGUAUGUGUGUGUAGAGGUCUGUGCACAUGUGAGUCCAGAAGCCCUGAGUUCAGAAGUGGGUGGGUGUCAGAUCCCCUGGAGCUACAGGUACAGGUGGUUGCACAUCAUCACAUGGGUGCCCCAAGUGCUUUUCUUUCUGGGGUGGAGUCUAGGAGUAAAUUACUGGGAAGAAGUCGGAAGACACGGAAGCAGCAUAUGGGCAUGACCUGAAACCUAUAACCCCGUAACCUAGAGGAAGACUAAGGGACCAAGUGCAGUUGGAGCUAUUGAGCUACAGAGACCCUGGCUCAAAAAAGUAAAGGGGAAAAUGAAAGAUCACAGCAGAAUGAGCUCAGGACGCUGGACAAACGAUGUUGAUGAAAACCAGAGACUCAGAGGUCAAGGGCGGAGGAGAAAAAUACUCACUAAGAUUGGCAGUUCACUUUCAUUCCAGUCUCCCCACCACCACCCCUUUCUUUUUGAGUCAGGAUCUCACUAUGUACCUCUGGCUGUCCUGGAACUCUCUAUGCAGACCAGGUAGGCUUUGAACUCAGAGAUGUGCCUGCCUCUGCCUCACAAGUGCUGAGACUAAAGGUGUAUGCCGCUACACCCAGCUUCAUUAUAUUCACCUAGGAGUGUUUAAAAGUGCAAAGAAUAAAACUAGAUGUGUUUGGGGCGGGGGAAAGUUUUCUUCUUUUUUUUUUUCUGACAAAUAAUGUUCAAGAACUUGCCGACCGCAGUCAGGUUUAAGUAAAGCAGAUACAAAGCCCAUUGGGGAAGGCCUUUCCCACUUUCCCUCUCUGGGCUUCAACUCCGGAACUACCGUCCCUAAACUCCAGAGGGUCUAUGUCACCUUACCCAGCUGAGAAGAGUCCUUACCUGGUGUCUUUUCCUGCCCCCGUGAUAAAACACCCUGAUAUGAGCAACGAAUGGGAGCAAGGGUUGUUUCUGGCUCGUGGCUCAGGCCACAGCCCAUCCGAGCAGGGAAGUGGAGGCAGCAGGAGCUUGAAGCGGUCAGCACUGCAUCCAGUGGAUGCUUCCUCCUGGUCAGCUCACUGUCUCCAUCUUCCACAGCCCAGGACCCCUUGCCAAGGAAAUAUUCCUACCCACACCAAGAUGGAUCUUUCAUGUCAAUUAACACAACCAAGAUAACCCCCCAGGGGCAGGCCCAGAGGCCCAUUUCCCAGGCGAAUGAGUCUACGUUCUGUCAAGUUUACAAUUAACACUAACCAUCGCACCUGAGGAUCAUUUACCACAACUAAAAAGCAAACACCACAUAUAAUGAUAAAAACUAAAGGACAGACAACAUACCCCAGGCCAGGAGAAAAGCUUUCCAUAUUACUUAUUUAAUGACAGACUAGUAUUCACAAAACUACAUAAAGACAUCUUAAAUGCAACAAUAAGAACAAAAAACUUAAUUUACAAAUGAGAGCAUAGAAUAGCUUAGCUAAUAAAGGCAUGGGUUUGGUAACCUGAAUUCAACUCCUGGAGCCCCAUGGUAAAGGAGAGACUGACUCCCACAGUUCUCUGACCUCCUCAGUUACCCUGGCACUCCAAUGGCCACUCGUGCCACACACAGAGGAGAAAGAGGGGAGGGAAGGAGAGAGGGGGCAGAGGGGAUAGUCGAGAAAAGGCCUAAAGAAAGCAUGGGUGGAAGACUCUCAGCUCUCAGAGGCUGAGGAAGAGCGGGACUGAGGCCAGCCUGAGUCUCAAAAACAAACAAAAAUGGGCAACAAAAGAUUUAAACAGCUACAUCAACAAACACUAAAUAAGUAUGGCAAAUAAGUUUAUAAAAGAUACUAACAUCGCCAGGCAGUGGUGAUGCGUGCCUUUAAUCCCAGAAGUCAGAGGCAGGGAGAUUUCUGGGAGUUUGACGACAGCCUGGUCUACAGAGCAAGUUCUAGGACAGCCAGGGCUACAGAGAGAAACCCUGUCUCGAAAAACAACAGAACAACAAAAAGCAACAGCACUUGUCAUUUAACUGCAGAUUAAAUGAUCACUACAUACUGGAGAAGAGCCGUGGGCAACAGGAAAUGCUGGUGAAGAUACAAGGAAGGAAGGCGGGCCCUGCCUAUGGGGAUGAGGGACCACAACCUUUCUUGACAGAACCCGAAACACACAACUAACCAUCCAUUUAUCACAGGGUCAGCAACUGUGACCUAAGUGUCUUUCCAAAGAAACUGAAAAGCUAUAUCCACACAAAAAUGGAUAUAAGUAUUUCCAGCCUUAUUCAUCAUUGAUAAAGCCCAGCAGCAACAUGAAGGCCUUUCAUCUGCAUGAGCAGAGGAGAAUACCGUGGGAGCUUCUACAGACUGCAACACACAUGACACAAAGGACCGACCAGUGAAGCCAACAGAAAACACGAGGAAACUUCAAUUAUCACCAACAGAAAGCCUCUCUGGAAAGGCUACGCUCUAGACGGCUCCAGUAUGACAUUCUGGCAAAGUCAAAGUCAAGGAAACAGUUAAGAGCAGCAUGGGAUGAGGAGGAAGAAGAAAUAAAUAAGUAAAACACAGGGCCUUGCUCAACAGUCAAACUGCAAUAGUACGGCACUGCAAUAGCAAGUGAGUGCGGGAGGAUUAAGCCGUCCACAGAGGCAUUAAAGUCAUUGCCCUCUGAGCACAGACGAGUAAACUGGCUUGCUGAGGCUCGCUCUUCUUGCUGUGUAUUGUAACACUAAACUCUGUAUCCCAAGGUCUAGUCGCCCCAAGAGCCAAGUGAAUUCUCAUGUACACUAGCCUUUGUUGUACAAACCUUGCUCCUAAAUUUAAAACUGCUGGAAGAAUAAAGAUGGCUACAGCCUGUAGCUGUGCAGAAGAGAGAUAGGCAGGGCUUCGGCUCCUGAGCUUGGAAUCUGAGGUAGAGGUCAUGAGGAGAAAAAAAAAAAAAAAAAGGCAUGAGGGCCAGCCUGCUGGAGGAGGAGCGGCCCAGGAAGGACAUGGCAAGGGAUAUCUCAGGAUUAUUGACAGAAGUAGACAAAAUAGCACCAAGCAUCCAGCUCUAGUGCUUUAAGGCUUAUCUUAAAUAUAAAGAGUUUGUGUCUUUUAUUUGGGAACAGAAAUCCCCAAAUAACAAAACCCACAACACUAGCUGCAAUCCUCCUGAUAGUGUAGUAGAGGCUAGGAGUACAGGAGCUCUUGGGCUCAGUGAGGCCCCUCUGCUAACUGCGUGUGCCUUUGGGGCACGGUAUAAAGUCUUGUAGCUUUCUACUUCCUCACUGACAACUGGGGAUUAACGUCAUGGAACUGUUAGGACAUCAAAAUGAGCUCUAACAUGUAAGUGUUGGAACAGGGUGACUGGGACAAAUUAAGUGUUCAGGGGAUGUCACCCUCCCUUACUCAAAGGUCUGUGAACCUACCAAUCGUUGCUGGAGGCACACCUACGCAUCUGGACUUCAGUAACAUUCCUGGGUGAUUUCCAUGAAUACUAACGUUCAGAAGGGCUUAACUGAAUAUUAUCGGGUAACUUUAACUGGUAUUAUGGGGUAACUUUUGUUCAACACUAACACUAUAGCUACUGCAGAGACCCAAGUUACUAUCUGCUGACAGUCACAGUCUACUCAGAAUACAUACUUUGUCACCUAUAAAGGUCAUGAAUUUACUAUACUCGGUAAAGCAUUAAAACAUGAAAUGUGGCCAGGCCUGGUGGUGCAUGCCUUUGCAGAGCAGCCUGGUCUACAAAGAGAGUUCCAAGACAGUAAGGACUACAUAGAAAAACUGUUUUAAAAAAAAAACAAAACAAAAAAAAACAGUGAAGGACAAACACAAGAAUAAGUGACAUAUGCCGUAUACAGCAAGCCCAUUUCCAGUAGGUGAAUAAAUGAUGAGUUAUUAGGGCAACUGUUAAUCAAUCCUUUGUAAGUCUGACUCUUAUAAAUGGAACACCAUUUCACAGGAAUUCCAAACUUAAACAUUCGGCAGUGUAUGCUGGAGUGUGGCUGUAAAUCCAGCUACUUAUAGGAUGGGGCAGGCAGAGGCAUGCAGACUGUUUGAGUCCAAGAACUACCCAGGCAGCACAGCAAAACUCUUACCUCUUUAGAUGAACAGUAGAGAGAGAAAGAGAGAGUGAGAGAGAGAGAGGACUAGCUAGAUGGAUAGACAGACAGCUAGAUAGAUAGACAGACAGGGAAGGUGUAGUACCUGUAAUAUCUGUACAUGUAUGGGUGAGGCAGGAGGAUCACAGUGUAUGGCCAACCUGAGCAGUACAGCAGAUCUGUCAUGAGAGGAACAAAGGAAGGAAGGGAUGGCUUCAACAGGCUAGCAGAAAGGAAGCUGGAAGGGUGGUUCAGUGGUUUAAAGAACUUGUUGGUCUUUGUUUGUUUUCCGAGACAGGGUUUCUCUGUGUAGCCCUGCCUGAUCUGGAACUCACUCUGUAGACCAGGCUGGCCUUGAACUCGGAAAUCCGCCUGCCUCUGGGAUUAAAGGCAUGUGCCACCACGCCUGGGGAGAACUUGUUGGUCUUGCAGAGAACCAGGGUGUGACUCCCAGCACUCACUUGGCAGCUCAGAACCAUCCUAAUCCUAACUUCAGGACCUUCUCUGACCUCCAUGGGCUCCUCUGACCUCUUCUGACCUCUAUGGGCUCCUCUGACCUUCAUGGGCUCCUCUGACCUUCAUGGGCUCCUCUGACCUUCAUGGGCUCCUCUGACCGUCUCUGACCUCCACAGGCCCCAGGCAUACACAUUAGUGCAUAACCUCACAUGCAAGCAAAAUAUCCAUACACAAAAGUUAGGUACAUUUUUUAAGCAAUCAGAAAAGCGGGGAUAGCAAAACAAAGCAGAUUUUAGAUACAUAUGCCAAGAGACAAUUUAAAACAAAACUCCAAAUGCGGGACAACGGUGGCAUACACCUUUAAUUUCAGAAGAGGUAGGGAGAUGUAUGAGUUUGAGGCCAGCCUGGUCUACACAGACCAGGACAGCCAAGGCUACACAGAGAAACCCUGUCUCAAAAAAACUGUAAGUAGAGAUAGAUAGAUAGAUUCCCCCAAAAUCUACCUGUUAAUACUUUAUACUUUGUGUAUACCAAAAAAAAAAAAAAAAAAAAAAAAAAAAGUAUGGAAGAACACAAACCAAACUGCUAAUAGUUGUUAACUGUGGAGGAUGAAGCUGGGCUACAAUUAAGACCUAUAUGUCUUACAUGUUAAUGACUGGAUACAAACAAUACUUUCCACAUUGUUCUACUUUCAUUUUACUUUAAAAUUAGUGCUAUAGUAUAUGCAUGGACAGAUGCAUUGCAUAUAUACAUUUUCAGUGAAACAGAAAGACUAAUAUUUCGGUAGAAUAAUAUCCUCAGUAGAAAACAUGUGCUUCAUGAAUUCCCAAGGCAAUUAUUUGACCCCAAAUAUUAUGACAUUUAGAAAAUAUACUCUCACAGUAUCAUAUUUUUCCUAAGAUUCUUAAAAUAAGAACAUGUCAACUCUGUCCUUUCCAAAUGGGCCACCAAAUUCAGAUUCCAAUGGCCAGUCUCAAUUCAAGAGUAAACUAACUAAACCUGUCAAGAUAUUUAACAACAUAAUACAAAAUAUUGGCCCAAAAUGAAGCCCAUAUGUCCAAAAUACGCCUGACAGUGACAGCAACUGUUUAAAAGUCACUAAAGGAAAUAUAGCAACUUAAAAUUCAUUUCAGUUUCAAUUCUGAAUCAUUUCUCAGUCACUAACCUGGAAAAAAAUGUUUGAGCCAUUUGUCACUUCUGACUAAUCCCAAAUCCCUUAGCAUGGGCAGCUCUGACCUGGCCUACACUCACGUCUGCUGAGGGUGUGAGGCAGCCUGAGCUACAGCUUCAGGGCAGCUUGGGCUAAAGAAAGUCUCCCUCUGUAUGUGUCCGUCUGUCUGUGUGUCUCUGAUACACACACACACCUGCAAGAAGAUGAUUUGUCCAGAAAAAAACCGAAAGGUUCAUAUAAGCAGCCGGCAAGUCUUCUAUCUGCAGCUCAGCUACCUGUUUAACUCCCUAAACUACUGUGGGAAACAUGGAACCUACUCAAGUCCCUAAGACCAUGUGAGGCAAGACUAAUGGUGAGAUCGCAUACUGUGACUCUAACUUGGCUUUCUGCUCCUUUCAUGAGGUUGGGCUAUCAGUUCCGCCUGGAUGACUCAGAAUAUACAAUGACAAGUUUUCUAUAGGGUGCGCUUUGAAACGCUCAGCUGUCCUAAUGAACAGCAGGACUGAGGGGUUUUGUCCCUUACUCUCCACACAAGUGUAUUCCACAUCGACCUGCCCAACGCUAUCCCUAGAAUGUCAGUGCACUGUGAUGUCAGUAAAGUGGCAAGUGACAAACUCCAGUUGCUGAAGUACCCUUCCCUCUCCUAGAGUGAGCUCGAAAGAGGUUCAAGCUAACGAUCAGUACCCGAGCCUCAGAAGAUCCUUAUCCACAGUGAGGCCAAAAUGAGUGAGUUUGGAGUUCCCCCAAAUAAAAGAUUUCUUGCCGCACUCCACACAUGUAGCAGCCAUUUUUACUCCCUCAGAGCACCCUGCUCAGGGCCACAGAGUCCCAUUCUCACCUGACCAAGCUAGAGUUCGCUCGCUGCCAGGUGACUCUCAGCGCCUACUCCCACCUUUUUCAAAAGGUAAACCCUUGCCUAGUUUGCUGAGAAAACCAUGUGUUUAAAAAAAAUUAAAAGAAAUAAAAUCAUCCUAAGACUUAUGCAGGCUUUCAGGUUUCUUAAGCACGUGUAGGUGGCACACGUCUUUACUGCAGGUAGAGGCAGCAGAACUACGUGGUGAGUUCCAGAACAACUGGGAUGAGGGACCCCAUCUCAUAAAACCAAAACCAAAAAUGUGUGUAUUUAGUUAUUGCCCGUGUGUGUGCCUUAUCACUCACUCCCAAUUACAAACUAAUGAAGGGUUUGUUUUUGGUUUUUUCUUUGCCUGUGAUACUGAAAAUGAAACCAGGACCUUGCACAGGCUAGCAAGCACUAGCUAGCAAGGGCUAGGCAAGCACUAGCUAGCACAGGCUAGUGAGCACUAGCUAGCACAGGCUAGGUAAGCACUGGCCACAUCCUCAGCCCAGCACUGUAGAAGCAGAGUUCAGGAGAUCUCUGUGGGUUCAAGGCCAGCCUACUCUGCACAGUGAGCUCUUAGGGGGCAGCACAGUGGCUUGCUGGAUGCAGGCCUUGCAGCAGGCCUGGUGACCUAAGUUUCAUCCUGAGAUCCACAUAGUAGAGGAGGAGAAUCAACCCCUGCAAACUGCCUUGACUUACAGACCCACAUACUGAUUAAUAAUGAUGUCAUUUUCUUUAAAGCACUGAGUACUUCAGAGUGAUUUGGAGAAAAACAAUUAAAACUAAGUCAAAAUUCUUCAAUGUUUUUGAGGUUGGGAUCGCUGCUAUGCUGAGAGCCAAACUACCCCCAAAUGUAAUUGUCAGUGAGGGCCAAGGACGUGCUGAAUACCAACUGAGGCCUGCAGCAGGGACCGGCCACGUUCACGGCCCCACACUUAACCUUUCUUUUCUACACUUUCUUCUUCUUCUUCUUUUUUUAAUUAUUGCAUGUUUCCAUUCUUUUUUCUCAAGAUUCAUUUCAUAUUUUUUUCAACUCUAUGUAUAUGUGUCUGGGUGAAUAUACACUUGUGACUGAAGGUGCCCAGAAGAGGGCAUUAGAAGCCCCGGAGCAGGAGUUACACACAGUCGGUGAGGUGAGCCUUCACUGGGAACUGACCUCGGGGCUUCUGUAAGAGUGGCACACACUCCAGAGCCUUACUCUGUGUGCCACCUUACCAGCACACACACCUCCUUCCUUCCAUUCUCCGUCCCUUUUCCGUCAUCCUGAGACUACUGACUCAGCCACCUUGGGGACAGAGAUGAGGUCUGUGUCCUCCCUGCUCUACGGCCAUUUCACCUUUGCAGCAAUUCAGUAUUUCACCACCUGUCACACUCUGUGCUCCUGAUAAAUGCACUGGCACAGGCUGGAACCACAGUUCACUGCUUGAGAUAGGGCCUCACUGUGCAGCUCAGGCUAGCCUUGAACUCACAAGGACUUUCUCCCCUCUGCCCCAAACUGCUGGAAUUACAACUGUACACUGCUAUACCUGGCUUUUCUUUUCUAUAUUUCUUUUGUUCAAUCUUCAUAAAUUGGCUUUAACCAGGUUUAUCCUGUCCUAUGAGCCAACACUUUCUCAAAGUCUGAUUAUAUGUGUGUGUGUGUGUGUGUGUGUGUGUGUGCGUGUGCGUGUGCGUGUGUGUGUGUGUGUGUGUGUGUGUGUGUGUUUGUUUGUUUCUAGGCAGCAUUUCUCUGUGUGGUCCCCCCUGGCCAUCCUGGAACUCACUCUGUAGACCAGGCUGGCCUCACUGCCCAACCGGCUUUGUUAUUCUUCAAGAACUUUGUUUCUGACAGGACUUACAAGCUCUUGUGCUCUUUGGCCAGAAGUCUGGCAUAUUCGGUAUAUUCUCAGCUCAUCCCUUAUCUUUGUAGGCUCCUUCCUCAGAGCCACAUUGCCAGCAUCUGUGCCUUGGGCUUCUCACCUUUGUUGGCUAGAGAGUCUCUGACACACUGGCAGACACUGUGUUCUGUAGAGAGUCUGGAAAAUUUACAGACUCUGCUAAGCCUUUUUGGGUCCCAGACAAUGAGGUGCAGAAGUAACAGUAGACGGAAGAUAGUUUCUUAGAUAUGAUUAACAUAAUUCAUAAGAGAAAAAAUGAAUGGGCAGAAGAGAUGGCUCAAUGGUCAAAGCAUUUGUUUCUUUUCCAGACAAGGGGAAUUUUGCUCCCAGCAUCCACAGCUGGCAGGUCAUGCCCACCAGUAACUCCAGCUCCAGGGGACCCAACCCCCUUUUCUGCCCUCCACAGAAACCUGCACACACACACACACACACACACACACACACACACAGAGAGAGAGAGAGAGAGAGAGAGAGAGAGGGAGAGAGAGGGAAAGGGAGAGGGAGAGGGGUUAAAACAACAUUUAUUUAUUUAUUUAUUUAUUUAUUUAUUUAUUUAUUUAUUUUUGGUUUUUCGAGACAGGGUUUCUCUGUGUAGCCCUGGCUGUCCUGGAACUCACUCUGUAGACCAUGCUGGCCUCGAAAUCAGAAAUCCACCUGCCUCUGCCUCCCGAGUGCUGGGACUUUAAAAGAGGAAACAAAGAGCAAAAGAGCAACUGGAAUUCAGAAUGAAAACUCUUGCUCCUGCGGUGGGUGGGCGGUGGGAGAGGGCAGUGGCUAUGAGCUCAUGCUGCUUUUGCAGAGAAAGUGAAUUCAGUUCCCAGCACCCAUGGCAGGUGGUCCACAUCCGCUGGGAACUCCAGCUCUGGCGGAGCUUCCGGUCUGCUUGAGUACUUGGACUCAUUGUAUUUGCCCAUACAAACACAUAAAUAGAAAAUAAAUUUAUAUUAUGUACGUAUAAAUUCUAGAAAAAUAUUUACUCAUAAAAAGACACCUUUGUGAGAACAAAAAGAUAAUACACAUAUUUGUGAAGCACUGAGUGAUAAAGUCUUAUACCAUGGGCUGGAAAGAUGUGGAAAGAUGGCUCAGUGGUUAAGAGCACCAACUGCUCUUCCAGAGGUCCUGAGUUCAAUUCCCAGCAAUCACAUGGUGGCUCACAACCAUCUGUAAUGGGAUCCGAUGCCCUCUUCUUCUGGUGUGUCUGAAGAGAGCAAUGGUGGUGUACUCAUGUACAUAAAACAAAUAAGUAAAUCUUAAAAAAAAAAAGACAUACCAUAAUAGAAGAGUCUGCUAAACUCAGUAAGUCUAUAUACCUUUAAAAUGCAUCAAGUCGGAGGGCGUGGCCGAGGGCCAAAGCUUAUGCUUGGCGGGCUCAAGGCCCUAAGCCCUAGGCUCAAUGUCUAGCACCACAAAAAAAUAACCACAAAGGUUUUUUUUUUAAUAGGCCAAAAAAAAUUGUACGAAUACCUACCAAUGUCGAUAUUCAGUUGGCAAAUAAGUACAUUAAAAGGUAUUCAAUAUCAUUUGUCAAUAGGAAAGUACAAAGUGACACUGUGAAAUAGCAUGUACAACUACCACUAAAAGUUAGAAGAUGAUGGGCCAGCUUACUCACCAGGUAAAGCCCUUUCCUGCCACGACUGACAACCUGAGUUUGAGCCCCACCCCCACCAGGCCCCUUGUGUCUUGAAAAAACAAAACUAACUCUUUCAAGUUGUCCUCUGACAUACACAUACUCUCUAUGGCACAUGCUCAUGCACAGAUGUGUGUACACAUGAAUGUAAUUUUUUAAAAAAUUAAAACAUCAUCAUCAUGGAGUGACGGGUAGGGAUUUUUGUGUACCUGAGCCUGUCAUGAGAAUGGCAGUUCUUUAAACUAAACAUAAACUUAAAGGUAAGCAUAAGCCUACCAACAACACCUGGCAACACCUGGGAGCUUUAUCUGUGCCAGCUGCAGACCAGAAAGGACCCAGGUGCUCAUCAGUGGGUGAGGAAGUAGACAGAGCAGGUGGCACCUACACACCCUAGGAUUACUGGGCAGAAACAUGCAGAGCCUUCAUACAGAUGAGAACAAUGGAUGAAUCACCAGACAGGGAGGCAGCCCAUCUGUGCUGACCGAGAUGACUAUUUUUUCUGGCAGUGCAGCACAGCGGGACUAAAUGCAAACAACGCUAAGAAACUUUUGGUAAGAUUUGUCUAUAUCUUGAGAUGUGCUCAUUAAAUGGGCUUAUAAGUUGUAAAAUAUGAUUUUUUAUUUUAUUUGUUUUUAUUUUUUUGGUUUUUCCAAGACAGAAUUUUCUCUGUUUAGCCCUGGCUGUCCUAGAACUCUCCAUGUAGACCAGGCUGCUUCAAACUCAAGAGAUCUGCUGGUGUGUGCCACCAGUUAAAAUAUCAACUUGCAUACUAAAAAUGGUUCAAUUUUUAAAAAAUGAAUAUUUUUAUUAGGUAUUUUCUUCAUUUACAUUUCUAAUGCUAUCCCAAAAGUCCCCCCAAACCCUCCCCCACCCCAACUCCCACUUCUUGGCCCUGGCGUUCCCCUGUACUGAGGCAUAUAAAGUUUGCAAGACCGAUGGGCCUCUCUUUCCACUGAUGGCCGACUAGGCCAUCUUCUGCUACAUAUGCAGCUAGAGACAUGAGCUCUGGGGGUACUGGUUAGUUCAUACUGUUAUUCCACCUAUAGGGUUGCAGACCCCUUUAGCUCCUUGGGUACAAUGGUUCGAUUUUAUGGUAUGCAAAUUAUACCAAUCAGAUUAAGGAUAUUAACAUAGCCAAGCAUGGUGGGACAUACCCAUUAUCCCAGCACUUGAGAGGUCAAACAGGAAGACUUCCAGGGCAAAGGCACAGACAGACAGACAGACAGACAGACAGAACUUUUUUAAAAAAGCAAGAAAUACUUGAGAUCAGCACUAUGGAAGAUAAGGAUCAUUAAGAGGCUGAACUGGGAUCUGCCUGCCCUUAACAUAAUUAAGUUCACAUACCUCUAUAUGCCUCGGUCCCACCUCCUGAUUCAAAACAGAGAAAUCCUUCAGAUGCUAUGGAAGUAUCUGUUUAAAAGAACUUUAAGACUACACAGCCAAUACCAUCAUCUCUACCAAGACACACCACCAAGAACACACAAUGACAUCAAAACUGAAUAUUAGCACAUCUCAUGUGUCAAAAAUGGCUCCCUACAGUUGCAAGAUGAAGUCAGAACACCUCAGCCACUCAGCCUUCAUCAUCUGACCCCAUUCCAUCUGCAGGAAACAGCCUGUACUGCUCACACAUCUAAUUUCCCCACCCCUUUCUAAAAUUACAUCAGUGUGGUGGUCAGAACCUGGGGUCGUCUCCUCUUUCCCAACACCGUGUAGGUCUGCAGAGUUAAACUCAUGUCACCAGGCUUUGUAAUAAGUGUUAUCUUAGUGUCCAAAGUCCAGUUCUCACAUUUUAUUUUUAAAAAUGAUUUCUAAAACUACCUACAAACCCAAUAAAAACACUUAUUUCUAAACCAAAUGUUCUCUCUUAGGUCAGCAAGGUGGCUCAGCUUGUAAAGGCUCUCGUCGCCAAACCAGCUGUUCAGAGUCAGAGGACUAAAACAUAAUAAUGUUCUUCACCUGUAAGCCAUCUCCAGCACCUUCAGGUUUUAAUUUUUGUUUUUGUUUCUUUUCUUUUUUUUUUUUUUUCAAGGCAGGGUUUCUCUGUGUAGUUCUGGAUUUCCUGGAACUCACUCUGUAGACCAGGCUGGCCUUGAACUCAGAGAUCUGCCUGCCUCAGCCUCCAAUACUGAGAUUAGUGGUGUAUACAACUACACCCUGUGUCACAUGUCCAGUAUUUUGUUUGUUUUUAUUUUUUUAAAUGAAAUACAGACCAGCAACUCAAAAAGCUAUUUUUGGGUAGACAUUGUUAUGCCUUUAAUUCUAUUAUGUGGGAGGUGUGGGCAUAAGUAGGCAGAUCUCUGUGAGUUCAAGGCCUGCCUGGUCUACAGAGUAAGUUCCAAGACAGCCAGGGCUACACAGCAAAACCUUGUCUAGAAAAACAAAACAACAACAGCCGACUAUUUUUAAAGGUAAACAUUCUAACACAACACGAUACAAUGUAAAGACACACUAAGAGGAAAAGAUGGCCUUUGCUUUUUUUGUUUGUUUGGUUGGUUCGGUUUUUCGUCACAGUGUUUCUCUGUGUAGUCCUAGCUGUCCUGGAACUUACUCUGUAAACCACCAGGCUGGCCUCAAACUCAGAAAUCCGCCUGCCUCUGCCUCCCAAGUGCUGGGAUUAAAGGGGUGCUCCACCACUGCCCGACAGGCCUUUGCUUUCUAUAAUCAAACUAUUACAUUUCUAUGCGAGCAGCCGACUGUGUGUGCAAUCAUUCCAAAUCCGAGCUUAGGUGUUUCUGAGUGUUUGUUGGUACGCUGUUUUCUUAAUGAGGGCUAAAGUCAAGUCCUGAGAUUAAACGCUGAGUGCUGGCAGGUUCAGCUGAUUCCUCAUUGUUUCCAUUCUGAAGAUUAAGUAACUGUGAGUUCAGAAACCUUGUACCCCAAGUCUCACAAUUCCUGCAUUCAGUUAUUCAGUGACUCCCGGAUUGUUCCCCACAAUUUAAAAAGCUGUGGCCUACUCUACAUGACCUGGCUGAAUGUCUACCUGGUCUUUAUCUUGUUUGUCUGUGAGAAAGGAUGAUCACAGGCUUUAAGUCCCUCUUGAUGCAGGCUGGCCCAAACUGGUAGGAUGUAAGAUAGCUGCCAAAGUGGCCCCCAGACAACCUCAGUCUCCACUGUAAUGCUAUAUAUAUGCACAACAGCACACACUCUGGAGUCAUGGCAAGUGACAGCUACCAUGCUGACACCUGGAGAACAUUAUUUUGAGAGAGAGAGAUAGUUAGUUAAUUCUUGGAAAAUCACAAAUUAAAAAAAAAAAAAAAAAAAGAAGAGCAUUCCUCUCUUUAUUACUAAUCUACAGCUCUACUUACAGAAUAAAGGCCGAAAAGUUUGACUUAGAGUUUAUCUCCCGCUUCUCCUAUUGGCUGAAGUCUUCUUCAUUGCUCAACCAGUGUGCCAUCUUGUUACCGGUUCUACAAUUCCAAGAGGGCAAAGGGGCCAACUCUAGGGGUGAAAUUCAGCAACGUCCCAUCUAGGGACAGGAAGAUGGAGGAGAAGGAGACGGAACCAGGUUUUGGAUAUUUCGUCUUCGUGGACUUUCUGGUGUUUAUGGAACUUUUCAACCAUAUAUAUGGGGAGCAGAUAAAAUUAAAUCCCAUGAGCCUUCUAUGGCCAACAGCCAACUUAGCCCAAUCUCAGUAAGUGCAUGGCCUGUGCUUCAUCUUCCUAGCAGAUUCCAGACAGCCUGUCACCCAUGCAAUCCAGUAUACCACACCCUUCUAAAGGUAAGAGCGUUAACAGUACUGUCCCACCCAGGGGGGAAACCAGACAGCCAGUCAAUAGUAAAUCUCCCAAAAAUGUCUAUCAUAUAUUUUUAGGAGUUAGUUUGUUCCGAAUCACAGUUUAGGAUUAUUGCAGGAUGGCCGUGAGCUUUCCUCCUGCUCCACAGUGUCUUGGUGAGAUUCCUAGGUGUGGGCCAAAGGCAUCUCCUGCCUUCCUAUUCAAGAAAACGCCCCUCCAAAUUCCCAGCAAUGCUGUCUGCAAUUCCCCAAGAGCUUUCGGCACAUUCCAAAAAGCAUGCGCUCAGUCACAUGGGUGCUUCCUUCAGGCUUGAGCUGCUACGAACAGGUGCUACCGGGGACUUCAACGCUUCCUUCGCACACGGACAGCACGCUGGCCCACUAGGAGGCUCCCGCAGAGCUCACUUUUCCACGCUAUGUUACUACAUUUGUCAGUCUCCCAUUUUAAGUGAGUUACUUUCUUUUUUAAAAUUCAUAAAUUAAUGCAUAGUAGUAUGUACACAAGCCAAAAGAAAUCGGAGCAAAUUGCUGAGAGUUCAACAGUAGUUUUUCUUUAUUCUGGUGGUUUGGUUUGGUUUUUGAGACUGGGUCUCACUGUUUAGCUUAGACUGGCCUUGAACUCAAGAGAGAUCCUUGUCCUCUGCCUUCCAGGCGGAGGACAGGGCAUGUGCCACCACUCUAGUUUAAUUUUUUUCGUAGUCACAGGGGAACGAGUUCAGAAGCUAGGCAAUAAUCACCUCACAUACACCCUAUCGCUAGACAGUAACAUGAAUGCAGAUAGUCUAUAGGUAUCUAUAGGGUCAUUUCCCUUCAACUUCAGAAUAAACAACAGACACAGGUGAAUUUCUUCUGGGUACUGGGGAACUGAACCUAGGGCCUUGCACAACUAAGCACAAUGUUUACGCUGAACUACGUCUGUCUCCAGUCCCCAGAAGAAAUUCUUUUGGGGGACAGAUAGAAUCUCAUCACUGCAUCUAAGCCCCAGCAGCUAGUGACCAUGGAUUUCAUCAAGACAAACGGAAUGAAAACCCUUCUCUAAUUGCCCACUUCCUUGGGCUCAGCACUAGAGACAAGUAUCACCUCUGCCCUUUUUAGACCUGAGCAGGUAAAACACUACACAGAAGCAGUCAGGCCACAGCGAGUCGUGUGAGUCGGUCUACAAAUAAGCACUGAACAUCUUAAUCAGGAAAAGUAGUGCAGUCCGUGAAAAGCGAGAGUCGACAAGAGCCACGUAAGUGAAAAGGAACUUUAAAAAGCUAUUAGGAGGGCUAGGAGGAUGGGUCCUGUUCUUUCCGAGACAUUGGACUCAGGAUAAGUAAGAGUGACCAUCAAAACACGUGAGACCCUCACUAAUUUCACACUGCCACUUUCUAAAAGAUUUAUUUAUUUAAUUAAUGUAUACAGGUAUUUUGAUUGUGUGCAUGCUUGUGCCCCCUGUGUCUGCCUGGUGCUAGCAGGGGCCAGAAAGAGGAUAUCGGAUCCCAUGGAACUGGAGUAACAGCUGGUUGUGAGCUUCCAUAUAGGAGAGGAACUCAGGUCCUCUGAAAGGGCAUCCAAUCCUCUCACCAGUCCCUAUUCUACACUGCCACUUGUUAAAGACCACUACUUAAAACUGUAAACGCGGGCUGGUGAGAUGGCUCAGUGGGUAAGAGCACCCGACUGUUCUUCCGAAGGUCCAGAGUUCAAAUCCCAGCAACCACAUGGUGGCUCACAGCCAUCUGUAACAAGAUCUGACGCCCUCUUCUGGAGUGUCUGAAGACAGCUACAGUGUACUUACAUAUAAUAAAUAAAUAAAUCUUAAAAAAAAAAACAUAUGAAAAAAAAAAAAAAAAAAAACUGUAAACGCGCUUUCCUGGCAUGGUUAUUUGUCUUUGUAAGGUUGCUGAGCGCAACCCAGAAAGUGUACUAACAUUCCCCAGACAGAACCAACACUAACUGAUACAGAGGAAUGCUUUUGCUACCUGCCAGUGCCACUGGGAGACCACUAAAGGUCAGUCAGUCUCCUCAGUGGUUGUGUAAUUAAAUGGCUUAGACUCAAUUAGGACAAUUAAGGCAAGAGACAGGAGAAUGGAACCUAGCAGGAAAGCCCAUGACUAAUGCUGAAUCAGUUUCUAAGCGAUUACCUCAUCGAAACAUCACCCUCCCAUAUUAACGCUCCCCACAAUGGUCCCUGGAAGUACAUCAAAGGUGUUACCCAAAAAGUACUCAAGAUUGCAGGUCAAUGCUGACAUUGGGCACAGAAAAGCCGAUGGGCACGUGACAGUUUGAACCUUUCCGUCCUCAAACUUCGGGAUGGGAGAAUCCAUGGUUAUGAUUACAGGUUUCCAUGCAUACUGACACGCAAUAACACCUCCUAAAUCAAAAGCUGAGAGCCGCCGGGCGCGGUGGCGCACGCCUUUGAUCCCAGCACUUAGGAGGCAGAGGCAGGCAGAUUUCUGAGUUCGAGGCCAGCCUGGUCUACAAAGUGAGUUCCGGGACAGCCAGGGCUAUACAGAAAAACCCUGUCUCAAAAAACAAAAAACAAACAAAAAAAAAAACCAAAAGCUGAGAGCCCACACUACCACUGCACCUCAGGAAAGCUUUAACCUCUAUGCAGAAGGACUCAGAGACAGAACUAAAUGUAUAUUAAAGCCACACCUUUAAAAAUAGUAAAAAUUGCCAGACAAUUUUUGGCAAUGGUUAUGCAUACCUUUAAUUUCAGCACUUAGGAGGCAGAUACAGGUAGAUCUCUGAGUUCAAGACCAGCCUGAUCUAUAGAGUGAGUGUGUUCCAUGACAUACAAAACUACACAGACAAACCCUGUCUCAAAAAAAAAAAAAAAUUAAAUAUGUAAUUAUUUUGUACACGGGCAGUUGCAUGCGCACCUGUGUGCAUGUACAAGUCACAGCACACAUGUGGAAGAGGACAAGUUUCAGGAAUUGGUUUUCUCCUUCUACCACGUAAGCUCCUGGGUCUGGGAUUGUCACGCUUGGUGGUGUGUCUCUUUUUUUUUUUUGGUUUUUCGAGACAGGGUUUCUCUGUAUAGCCCUGGCUGUCCUGGAACUCACUUUGUAGACCAGGCUGGCCUCGAACUCAGAAAUCCGCCUUCCUCUGCCUCCCGAGUGCUGGGAUUAAAGGCGUGCGCCACCACGCCCGGCUGGUGGUGUGUCUCUUAACCACUAAACCGUCUCACCAGCCCUACCCCUAUGUAAUAUACAUAUUCAGUGCCUCCAUUAAUUAUGUUCCUUGGGGUUUCUUCUAGUCUUUCAUCCACAGCAGGCUACACAGUGACACCUUUAUGGAGAACACUGUAGAGAUUCUGGCUAGGUACAGUUGAAACUGGAAUUCAGCUCUGGCAACAGCUGCCUGACUAUCAGCAAGAGUUUACAAUAAUACAGACCCACCUAUGCCUCUCAGCUCCGCUACUUAAAACACAUAAGGAUCUGAACAAGUUACAGCUUAACACCUGCUGCCCUCGAUGGAACUGGGGACUCUCACCCUGCACUGCUGUGGAGGGCCUAGAAGGAACUCCAUGAAGCACAGAGGAUGGAGUGGGGCUCUGCAGAUGGCAGUAAAGGCAGAGGGACUGUGAGCUGUAGACAGUAGGAACCGUAUUAGUCAGUCAGCUCAGCUUGCAUCUUCCUCUCUGCACCCCAGCUGUGGGAUGAGUUACCUCCUGCCUAGAAUUCCAAGAGGUCUCCAAAGGAAGAAGGCUCUGCUGUGAGGUCCAAACUAGCCACCGCCAGGCCUCGUCCUUAGCACCGUAUCAUCCCCUCCCUAACCUCGAGGCUGCUAAGAAAACCCUGUUUCCAAGGUUAGCUGAAUUCUUCUUUUAUGGCCUCAGGCCAACACAUUCCUAGAGCAAAUUUGAAAGCCGUUUGGCUUAGAGUCUUCUAGGGAGGGCUGAACAUCCCAGAUUUCUCAAGAGCCCCCAUGUUUUGGUUUACCACACUCUGUACUUCGAGGCAGCAGUAGGUCUUGAAGGUCUUCCAGCCCCACACACCAUUUCUGUCACAGACUGAUAUCUAGUCUUCUCCGACUUAGCAAGCAGGACCCUGCUUUCUAGGAUGACAGGUUCCUGCCUUCCCCUACUCCUCUCUUACAGAUGUGCAGCAGGACCUAUGCUCACGGGGAUUCAGAGAGAUGGGACUUCUCUGACUUUGGUUCCCCCUACACCUCUGAGGGGUAGAGUGCUGCUCUAGGCUGUGGGAGGAACUUAGAGUACUUUCCUGGCACGUGUGCCGGGACCUGGGUGUGAUUCCCAAUUACUGUAAAACAAACUAAUGUAAAAUAAUGCAUUUACCUCAUAGACACAGGCAGGCUUAAAUAAGAAACGUAUGACCAUGUUAUAUGGAUUUAAUUAUAACAAGUUUCUAUUAUGACUUAAAAGUUCCUAAUCAAUACACAAAACUGUAACAGAGACAGUUAGGUGCUAGGGCUGUGGCUUAGGUGGUGAUUGCCUAACAUGCACAAGGCCCAAGAUCUGGUCCUCAGUGUGGCACAGAACAAACAAACAAACAACACCGCCUGUGGCGCAAGCCUGCAUUCCCAGCACUCAGAAGUAGAGGAAAAGGAUCAAAAGUUUUGGUCAUCCUUGGGUAUAAAAUUCAAGGCCAACCUGGGCUAUAGGCGGCACUCUCUUCUUGACUCUAGCUGCAUAUGUAUCAAAAGAUGGCCUAGUCAGCCAUCACUGGAAAGAGAGGUCCAUUGGACUUGCAAACUUUAUAUGCCCCAGUACAGGGGAACGCCAGGGCCAAAAAAGUGGGAAUGGGGGGGCUGGUGAGAUGGCUCAGUGGGUAAGAGCACCCGACUGCUCUUCCAAAGGUCUGGAGUUCAAAUCCCAGCAACCACAUGGUGGCUCAAAACCAUCCGUAACGAGAUCUGAUUCCCUCUUCUGGAGUGUCUGAAGGCAGCUACAGUGUACUUACAUAUAAUAAAUAAAUCUAAAAAAAAGUGGGAAUGGGUGGGUAGGGGAGUGGGGGGCAUAUGGGGGACUUUUGGGAUAGCAUUGGAAAUGUAAAUGAGGAAAAUACCUAAUAAAAAAUAUUUAAAAAAAAAAAACCUCCCUCUGGUUUUUUUAAUCAGCAAUAGAUUGAAAGUAACUCAAUAGUUAAAAGUAAACCAGGCCCUUUCAUGUAAGAGAAAAGAGGAAGGAGAGAGCUCCUCCCAAGGCUAGCAGAGAAACACUCCAGAUACCAGAAAAGAAGGUAUGGGUAGGACUACACAGCUGUGUGGAUCGCCUACUUUAAGAGAGUGAAUAAUGGCCAUACCCAAAAUACCUCAGGAGGCUGGGGGUGUGCUUGGCGGCCGAGUGCUUCCUUCCUUAGCUAGGUUCAAUCUCUAACAGUCAGGAGAAAGGAAGAAAGAAAGAAAGAAAGAAAGAAAGAAAGGAAGGAAGGAAGGAAGGAAGGAAGGAAGGAAGGAAGGAAGGGAGCGAGCAGGUGUGGUGGUACAUGUCCUUGACACCAGCUCUCAGGGGGCAGAGACAGGAGGAUCUGUUAGUCCAAGACCAGCCUGGUCUACAUAGUGAGUUCUAGAACAGCCAUGAUUACCCAGUCCAGUGAGGCCCUGUUUUGAAAUUUAAAAAAAAAAAAGUUUGUUGUUGGUCUUUGGUUGCUUGGUUUUGGUUUUUUGAAACGGGAUCUCUCUGUAUAGCCCUGGCUGUUCUGGAACUCUAUCUGUAGACCAGGCUGGCCUCGAACUCACAAAGACCCACCUGUCCCUGCCUCCCAAUAGCUAGGAUUAAAGACAUGAGCCACCACUGUUUGGCUUGUUUUGUUUCGAUUUUUGUUUUUUUGUUUUUGUUUUUAAGAAAAAGGAAAAAAAUCAACACUCUUGAAGACAGUUAUGAGAUCCACUGCCUCUGGGAGGCAACCUGGAGGGCUUCUCUCAGCCACUGCCACUUGGAACCCUUAUUUUCUAUAAAUGGUGAAGCAACAUCAUUUCUUCUACUACAUACUAAAUGCCGAUAGGCCAAGGCAGCAUGAGGUGGCCAGCAAGUCUGACAAGUCACUUCCUGGGCCAGCUUGAACAUGACACUUAACAGCUAUGCUCCCUCCAUGAUCUCACUCCAUCAGCAACUGAGGUUAAUUUAUUCCUUCUAGUCAAACUUCCUGACUUGCUAAUUAUGAGUCUGUGUGCAAGGCAUUUCCACACUCAAUGUUAUUUAUAACUCUAAGCUUACUUAGAAGGGGCCUCUGAACUAUAACACUUCCUACCUUCAGGGCAUGGAGCGGUUACAUCCAAUGCUAACUUUUCUAAAUCAAAUCCUAAUCGCUCAAGGCCUACAAGAUCGAAGCAAGCUCUUAACCUGAACUUCAAGGAUUAAGUGACUACCAUGCAGAGCACUGCCCCUGUUCGGAGAGAUGAACUUCCUCCAAUCUGGAAGGAUAGUCCUCUAAACUUUGCUGAAUAGCUUUUGCAUGGGGGUAAAUAACAUUUCCAGAGGCAGGGAUUAAAAAACCUGCUUAGUAGUUAAGAGCACCAGCUGCACUUUCGGAGGACCACAGUUCAGGUCCUAGCAUCCACAUGAUGGCUCACAGCCACCUCUAACUGCAGAUUCAGAGCAUCAGACAACCUCUUCUCGUCUCCGAUAGGCAACAGAAUGCAAGUGGAUGCACAGACAUACAAACACUUAUACAAAUAAAAUAAAACCAAAUAGACCUUUUUCUCCCCCUUAAUUUCCAAAGACAAUGUUCUCCAAACAUAAAAUUUUAAAUGACAUCAUCUGAAACAUAGCUCUAAUCACACUGGAGCAACACCCCAGCCCCUGACACUGCCCAAAAGUGCAGCGACCGCACCUCUCUUCUGGCUCCCCUACGGUGAGCACGUUAUUUUUGGAGCAAGUCUAUGAAGCAGCACUUUGUGGACGCUGGGCUCCAUCCUCUGAAUGUUCCCUUCACAUUCCUUCUUAGUCCUCUCCCUCCUGGCACUGAGCCCCAAAACCUCAGCAGAAUCCAUAAUGAAACACUGGGUUACUUUAGGGCAAGAAGGUUAAGCCUACGAAAGCUUUCUAAUUGGAAAGCCUCUUCUGUGAAAGCAGAUAGAGAUUUGCUGGCUCCUCUUUCUCUUUCUCUUGUGUUCCAACAGGUAGCUGCCUCUCCUGGAACCAAGUGUAAAAGCCGGCCGGCCGGCCGGCCAGGCAGCAUAACUCCAGUGCGGACAGGUGCUUUGCAAGCACAGUAAAUCUCGGGGCAACAAAUCAACAGGAGCCAGCUAACUUCUCCUGACGCACUGCUCACUGAGGUGCAAAGCCUCUCCGUUAAGACGAGCAUUGAGAAAAACGAACAUCUGCAAGAAAAGGAGCCCGUUCUCUGCCCAGAGAAAACUCAAGAAGGAAGACUUGCCACAUAAAAAACUCUUUAUUCCAGGGUUAUUUUCAGUGGCACUUAACUGCAGGGUGGAGACCAAGGGUCCCAAACAAACCUACUUGAUUUAUUUUUCUCCUUUAGUAAUUCUGAAAUCCAAGGUUAGGUUUACUAAGGCAAGUCUGAAGGUUCAUCAGAACCUCUGUUGUUUUAAAGAAAAGGAGAAAUGCAAAACUAUACUUGUAAAUAUAAGAGCUUGGGGGGGGGGUUGGUUGGUUGUUUUUCGUUUUUUAGAAUUAAUGGAACUUCAUGGAAGCACUCUAGAACUUUCCAAUCAAAACGAAAACAAGAAUGGAAUCACAAAAAGCAUGGCGCUUCCAAUGGCUCUCUUCUCCAGACUUCACUAAAGGUCUCUAAGGGAACCCUGAAGUUGGCUGUGCAGGAGAAAGACAUUAGUGGAGUCCAAGAGAAUGCUCUAGUUCAUAGUUUAGGAAUGUCUAAUGUUUUACAGAGAUAAAGAGGCCACGGUACAGAAACUGUGAUUUUUUUUUUUCAGCAGUUUCCUAAACUCCACAAGAAGCUACCCAGUAUGUAACUGCAGUACUACUUAUCACACGAAGGUGACAUGCCAGGCCCAAGGUGAGAAAUCAAGGUCACUAAACUGAACUCCUGCAACCUCUUUAAGGAGGGUGAAAAGGUUCAACGGUCUCACUAUAUAGCCAGGAGGAACUGGAACUCUUGAAUCCGCAGCGCUCUGCCUGCUGGCACUACAGCAUCGGCCACGUCACCCCCUCCCUCCUUAACACUGUCAGGCUGAUGGCCUUCCACUCCCUUCUCUGUAGGUAACCCAGCACCAACUCAACUAUCCUGAUGCUCUUCCUGCUCCCCUCCCAUUACAAACUGAGGAAGCUGGAGAGAGAGAGGCCCAGUGCUUAAGAGCACUGGCUGCUCUUCCAGAGCAUCUGGGUUCAAUUCCCAGCACACACAUGGCAGCUCACAAUUAUCUGUAACUCCAGUUCUUAGGGAUCAGACACCUUCACACAUACAUACACAUAAGCAGAACAUCAAUAUACAUAAAUAAAGAGAAAUCAUUUUCUAAAUGAGAAAGAAAAUUGAGGGGGAAAAAAAACAGAUUUCUUUUUUCUAAACAUUCCCAAAGUAACGAGGGAGACUUUUUUAAAGACUGAUUUUAUUUCUAUUUAGACAUGAUUUAAUACUAUGUUUGUGUGGCAUACACAGUGGGUGUAAUUGAGCGUAGGUGCCAUUUGCCGGAAAAAGUCAGUUAGGAACUCACAGUACAGGUGGUUGGGAGGCAUUCUAUGCCAGUGCAAGAAGCUCAGUUCUUUUUUCUUUCAUUUUGUUUCUUUUCCCCCUUUUAAAGUUUGUAAGUCGGGGUUUCACUCCUGUAGCCCUGGCUGUUCAGGAGCUCACUCUGUAGAGCAGCUAGCCUCCAACUCCCAGAGCUCCACCUGCCUUUGUCUUCUGAGUGCUCCGAUUAAUAAAGGCCUGAGCUACCUCAUCCUGCUAAAAGCUGACUUCUCAGACAGUAGUAAGUGAUCUUAGCCUUCCAGUCAUCCCGCAAGCCUGGAGUGAGGUUUAAAGACAGUCCGAGCCAGACGCUAGGGCAGUGACACAGCUGGCAGAGCAGUGGCUCAGAUCCAUCUUCAGCACCCCAGGAACUGGGUGUGGCACACACCUGCAACCCCAGUACUUAAGAGGUAGAGGUGGGAAGAUUAGAAGUUCAGGUUCAUCCUGUGGUAUAGGGUGAGUUCAAGGCCAGCAUGGUCUACAUGAAAUCCUGUCUCAAACAGCAAACAAACAAACAAAGUAAAGAUCAAGCCAGAACUACGUAUACUAUAAGAAGUUCUUCAGAAACAAGGUGGAACUAGACUGGAAGCCCCCUCCUGAGAGUUAGCUUUCCUAGAGCUGGAAAACGCUAUGUAGGCUGCUGGAAGAGAAAGACAUUAACUGCCGUAACCAGCUGGGAACUCUACAAACUGUAUACAAUUAAAAACUGCCAGUAGAGACACACCCACUGGCCCAACAGUGGCAUGACUAUUAAGGCGGUAACCAAGACCUUCUAACUGGAGUUGAGGCCACUACACCAGAAAACUCACUCCCAGUACUACAAACCUGAACAGACGUGCAUGCCCAGGAAGCUCAUUAGCACUGGGGCGGGACCUUCCUAGUAAAUGCUAAAUGGACAUGACGUCAUACUGCCUUCUAAAUAUUUAUGUUUAUACCCAUAGAUUAGGGCAGCUCUCAGCCUGGGUCAGAGGAUCUUCUCUUUGAAGUCGGCAAAGGCUCACAAGUGGUGAGAAUAAGAGAUUGUAGAGUGCUCAGCCACAGAUGGAAUGUCUAUACCACGCCCUCCAAGGCUCAGGGAACAUAGUGGAAGAGAAAGAAAAAUAUAAGAGACAUGGAGUGGUGUGAAACACUAUCCUCAUGGCAACAUGAUUACUCUAAUUUCAGAGUCACACUGGACUACACAAUGAGUUCCAAACCAGCCUAGGUUACAGAGUGAUACCUUGUCUCGAAAUAAAAAUAAAUAAGGCCAGAUGUGGUAGCACAUGCCUAUAAUCCAGAACUUGGGAGGUGGUGUCUGGAGGGUCAGUAGUUCAAGGUCAACAAGGAAAACAAAAACACAGAGAGAAAAUCUGUGCAUUGUAUGGAUGCAUCACCUGCCCAUUUAAAAACCCUCUUCUAUACACAUGCACCCAAAUAUGUACACCACACACACACACCACUUACAAUAAUAGAUAAUAAAUAUAAAAGACCCAGUCUCAAAAGGGGGGAUCUGGUUAUAAAUAUGUUUUCUCUGGAGUGGGAGCCAUCACUUUCUUUGCUAUAUUUUACAAAAUUUAAUUAUUUUAUAAGAUAUAUAAGGUAGAAAGAUAAAGUGUUGACAUCUUUGAGAAUUUUUUUUAAAUGCCCAGGAGAAAGAAUUGAAUAAGAAUAAGAAAUCAGUCAGACCUGGCUGAGCACGCCGUUAAUCCCAGCAUUCGGGAGGCAGAGGCAGGCGGAUAUCUAAGUUGGAGAUCCCUGGUCUACACAGCAAGUUCCAGGAUAGCCAGGGCUACACUGAAAUACCUUAUUUCAAAAAACAAGAAACAAAAAAACCAAAAGAAAAAAAAAAGAAAGAAAAGAAAAAGGGGUUGGAGAUUUAGCUCAGUGGUAGAGCGCUUGCCUAGCAAGCACAAGGCCCUGGGUUCGGUCCUCAGCUCUGGAAAAAGAAAAAACAAAAAAAAAAAAAAAAAAAAACAAAAGAAAGGAAAGAAAACAGGAACCAGCUCACUGAACAUACAGAAAAGACCACUUUACAUAUAAUUUCAGAAUUGAACUUGCUGUACAAAUAAGAAAACAGACAAAAUGUAAAAUCCCAGUGCGGCAGGAAAACUGCUAAAAGUCAAAGACAAGCCACAGAUCAGGGAGAAGAUCUGUAAAUCAGUCAGUCCAUACAAAAUGUGUAUGGAGAACAGGUGAAGAAACCAUAAGCUAAGCUCAGCAGAGUAGGUAGGUGGUCCACCUCUGCAGCCCAGCAGGAGCAAGGUGGGUUUGUAAUCAACCUGCGCUCCCUACCAAGACUCUUUCUCAAAACAAUAAAAAAGUAAAAAAUUAAAAUUUAGCUCAGCAAGGAAGACAAGGGAACUGUAAGCCGGGAAAAGGAAGGGAAGUGACAUUUCUCCCAAGCCGUCAUUUGCAUGUGAACAGAUGCUCCUCCGUUAGUCAGGAAGCUCGAGUCUACAAAGCUCCAAGCAGCGCUGCCUCAUACCCAGCAGAUGACGAAACCAGGGCAGGAAAGGAACUAAAACCCUCAUAAACUGCUGGUGGGGACGUAAAUCGGGGCAGCCACUCUAGAAAGCACUUGGCAGUUCUUCAUGGAGUCACCAUGUGAGCAAGCAAUUCUACUGUGAGGUAUCUAUACAAGGGAAAUAAGAACAUACAACUCCCCAAAAAACUGUAUGUGAAUACUUAUAAUAGCAUCACUCCUAAGAGUAAAAACACGACAACACGCAAUCCAUACAGAUAAACAAAAUGCAGCAUGUCUAUCUAUCCAGAGGACUACUACUCUGCUAUGAAAAGAAAUGAAAUUCCAGAAAAGGCUGGGUGGAUCAACCUUGAAAAAACUUUACUCCCUGAAAAAGGCCAGAUAAAAAAGGCUAAGUAACAUAAACUCCAUUUAUAUGAAAAAACCGAAGAGGCAAAUCUAUGGAGUUGACAGGUCACUCCUUGAGACUGGGGGUAGAGCUGAGGAGAUGAACAGUGACCUCUGAGAAGAAUACAGUGUCCUAAAUGUGUAGUGGUGACGGCUGCACAACUGUCAAUACGCUUAACAUUUAAACUGGAGGAGCUAUCCUGUGCCUGAACUAUAUGAAAAGGAGCGGAUAUCAAAGCCUGCUGCUGCCCAAAGUCAAGGCGCUGCCCGCGAGCAGAGCGCCAAGUGGAGCUGAAGCAUCCUCAACUCCACCAGCAUUGUUUACUGCUGCAGGGGACGUUAGGCCAUCUGACAGGCUAAAGGGGGACCCUCAAGGAGCUGGGAAAACAGAACAAUGACACUGGGUAAGAAAGGAAAUUUAGAGGAUACAACUGGAACAAGUAUGUUUUCAAAUUGGAGUGGAGGGGAAUGCACAACCUCCACCUGGGAGGCAGAGACAGGAGGAUCUCUAUGAGUUAGAGGCUACAGAGUGAGUUCCAGGACAGCCAGGGCUACACACACAGAGACCCUGUCUCAGAAAGAGGGAGAUGGGGAGGGGGAGAGAUUGAUUGAUUCUAGGGUUGGCAAGAUGACUCAGUGGGUAAAAGGGCUUGAAGCUAACCCAAAGGACCUGAGUUUGAGAGCCUCAUGGUGGAAGAAGAGAACCAACUCCUAAUAGCUGCCCUCUGACCUCCAUGCUUAUGCCAAAGGCCAUGAGCAACACCACACACACAAACACACACACACACACAAAUGUUUUUAUAUAAAAAAAAGAAUAUAGUAUGUCUUCAAAAAUGGAUUUGUGGUCUUGAGCAUUAAGAAGCAUUGACUGGGGCUGGGAAGAUGGCUCAGCGAUUUAGAGCACUGACUGCUCUUCUGAAGGUCCUGAGUUCAAAUCCCAGCAACCACAUGGUGGCUCACAACCAUCUGCAAUGGGAUCCGAUGUCCUCUUCUGGUGUGUCUGAAGACAGUGACACUGUACUCACAUAUAUCAAAUAAAUCAUAGAAGAAAGAAGAAGAAGAGGAAGAGGAGGAGGAGGAGGAGGACGAAGCAGCAGCAGCAUUGACACAUGGCAGAGAUGGUGGCUUGGUCUGCCCCUCCCCUUCCCCUGAUGGUACAAUCAGGGCCUGUAGCUGCUGACUCAAAAGGAAGUCAGUGAAGGCAGAGCCAGUGGGCUCAAACCACUGGCUCCUGUCUCCAUGUCAGGGGCUCAUGAGUAACAAGCUUCAAACAAGCUAUUUUCUUCCUCGGCAUUGUAAUAUUCUUUAAAGAGAUCCGAAAAUACCAUCUCAACAUUUAACUGCCUCCCAGAACAACUACAUUCACAGAAGCUAUUUAGGUACAAUAUGCAAAAGCCCCGAUCCUGCAGCUGACUGGCACACAAAGAUCAUGCCCAAAUACAACCACCCCACUGGGCCAGAGGAACAGUAGGGCUGUUGAGUCAGAACUUAGAAAGGAAGCCAAGAACAUACAAUCACUAAAAACAUUAUUUUGCGGGUUUAAAAAAAAAAGAGCUACUAAACCUCACGUAUUGUCAGAACACUGCUUAUGCAACAUGGGAACAUUUUGACAGAAGGGGAGGACAACAGGAGGCAGGAGGCAGAGACAGAAGUAAGGAAUCCUGCAGGUGCCGGAGCAAUCUAAGAAACACACAGCUCUGUUCUGCCUUCCUUCCACAAUACAAACAAUUCUGUUUCUUGUGGCAUCCGAAGAGGACUGCCUGCCAGAGACAGAAAACAAGUUGCUACACGAAAAUGUCAAUUUGUUCCAUGGAACACUACACUGGCAUGAACGGAUACAAACCUUUUCAUCUAGAGACAGAGGGGAGCUCUUUCCUUCCGAGUUUUUUUUUUUUUUUUUUUUUUUAACAUCGUGGCCCAUUAUCAAAUUCAGUUUGAUUCAUGCAAAUUCUAACAUAAAUGGACAAAAAUAUCACCCAAAAGUAUAUAGGAUCAUAAAAACUUCUGUAAAAUAUUUUGUCUUCAAGCUCCUUAGCAGCUUUAGAGUACUUACAAUUUUAAAUUAAUUCAAGUAAAAGCACAUGUAUGUAUAAAAAUGUUAUAAUGAAACCCAUUGUUUUGCAUGCUGAGUUGAUUUUUGAAGUUCAGUAAUUAUCUCAUAAAGACACAUCCGUGAAGACAUCCUCUAAAGGCGCUCACUAGUUUACAACUUCACCUACCUCAGAUGUGCUUAUAGGCCAUCUCAGGCAAAGCACAAUAUGCAGCUGCCACCAUGCACCCCCCACCGACCGCUCAGCCUCCCCAUCCUCCACCCCCAUCAUCAGCUACGUACACUUGGGGACUUUGCUGACACUGCUGCCGUCUGCACCUUUCCAGUGCUGGGGUGGAACCCACGGGCUCACACAUGACAGACACACACACUACCACCGAGUCACACACCUGUCCCUAGGUUUUUGUUUGUUUUCAUGCCUAUUUGUACUAAUUGUGAUGUGAUUUAAUUAAAUACCAGGUAAAAUGAUAAAAAUUAGGGGGGGGUAUGAGAAUGCUUUGGUAAAAACUAAGCUUUCAACUUGAAACAAAUUCAGUAAAGUUUUUAAAGUAAAGUCAAAUUACAUAUGGGUGAGAUGUGAGCAAGAAAUUGGAAGGAGGGAGGGCGGGCGGGCACAUAAAAGUCAUGGGCUUAACUUACACCACUUUAUCAAUGCCUGAGUUCCUGUUUUGUUUCAAAAACAAGGCAACCCUGGAAUUCAUAAUGAACUAUAGUGUACUUAAAGAAAAAUGAAGGAAACCAACCAGGGCAAAGAAAAAGCCCCUGGCCCUACAUCCAAAUAUUAGUCAAUGUCCUUCUUUAACCUACUGCAAGGGAAAAAGGAGGCAGGGAAACCCACAGCAGGGUUUAAAGAGUACCUGGGCUGGGAAGAUGUCUCAGUGGUGAUUAGGACAAGAGUUCGGAUCCCAACACUGAAGUGGCUCACAAAUACCUGUGAGGGGGUCAGACACCUCACCGUAUUCUCCACAGAUAUACAAAUCGUGUGUGUGUGUGUGUGUGUUUUGAGACAGGGUUUCUCUGUGUAGCCCUGGCUGUCCUGGAACUCACUCUGUAGACCAGGCUGGCCUUGAACUCAGAAAUCUGCCUGCCUCUGCCUCCCGAGUGCUGGGAUUAACGCAUGCGCCACCACGCCCGGCUAAAAUAAGUAUUUUUAAGCCUCUCUUUUUUAAGUUAAGUGAUCCCAGGAGCUGAAUGCAGCUCAGUGGUAGAGCACUUGCCUGGCGUGCACUUUCAGGCUUUGGACUUGGUCCCCAACACUACGCACACAUUGGGGAAGAGGAAGCACCUCAAUGAUAAUGUAUGGAUUUUGUUCAGGCCGAAAAUUCAAAACAAGUGAGUAAUAAAAACAAUAAAAAUAAUCCAUAAACCAAAGCUGGCCACUGUGGCCCACAUCUGUAGAUAAAGGCAGGAGCUUGGGUCUGAGGUCAGUUUAGACUACAUAAUGAGACCUUGUCUCAAAAGUAAAUAAAUAGGGGCUGGUGAGAUGGCUCAGUGGGUAAGAGUACCCGACUGCUCUUCCAAAGGUCCAGAGUUCAAAUCCCAGCAGCCACAUGGUGGCUCACAACCAUCCUUAAGGAGAUCUGACUCCCUCUUCUGGAGUGUCUGAAGACAGCUACAAUGUACUUACAUAUAAUAAAUAAAUAAAUCUUUAAAAAAAAGUAAAUAAAUAAGUAACAAAGAAGAACAAAAGAGGUUCAGGUGGUCAACAAAGAGCCUACCUCUGUGAUGGGGACUCUGUCUCCUUCAACAGUCUCCUGUCCUUCAUGCCCGCGGGAGAGGUGAGAGGCCCAGGCAGAGGGUGAACCGAUAGCAGUCAUGGGGGGUUAGAUCCACAAAUCUAGCUCAGGGAAAGGCCUCUGAAAAGCUAGAAAAGGGCGAGCAACCCCUCUUCCGAACAGGAGUCCCCCAUGCCAACGCAGGCAGCGGGACCCGGUCAGCCAGCCAGCCAGCCAGCCAGAGCUGCCCGCUGCUGGAGGCCUGCUCACCCACUGCUGCCAAGGCUAACCCUGGUGCAAUCGUUCUGGAAAGCAAUGUGGCAAUAUAAGUAUCCGGUGUCUCUCAAACAUGUGUGCCCUCUGGCUCAGUAAUUUCACUUUUAACAAUCUAUCUAAAGAAAAAAAAAUAUUCUAAAGAUUCAGGUGCCAACGCAAUUGCCACAUUUAAAAAAAAAUUAAAAUUAUGAAAUAAAAAACUGUGGAAAAUCCUCAAAACAAACAAACAAAACAGCAGUAGUCAUGCCCCUGAGGUACAUGCGCACUGAAGCUGACGCUUAUGAAUGGCUCCCGCUGACAGUACAAAGAGGGGCAGGAGGCAGAAACAGCACUUGUAACAGGACCCUAACUAGUUUUCAAUGCCUAGGCUGGCAAGAGGGUUUUACAGUAUCAAUAACUACCGACUCUGGGUGGCAGAAUUAUGGAUGACAUUUUCCCGUCUGCUUCUUCAUAAUUUCCUGGUUUUUCCCAGAGUUGUUUCAGGAGCACAAUGUUAUUUUUGUGAGAAGAAAAGGGGAAGGUGGUAGGAGAGAGGCAGUGAAAACAGACUGUGUGCUGAGGUCAAGGAGCAUACUGCAAUGAACUCGGCUGCUCAUCCGUCCUCUGGUCCUCUGUCCGUCUUGAAAACAGAGGGGACACCUAUUCAAAUGCUCCUUUAACUUCACCGUUUGUCUACCCUGAGAAUAAUAAUACCUCACUCCUUGUACCAAUAGCUGCUACUUUUUCCAUAUACAUGGCACAAGGAAUACUAGUUGAAUUCAUUCAUAAACAGUUAAGACCAAUUAAAGAACCGAAGAUCACAGCCAGUGAUGGAAAACUGAGGGGUUCUGUCUUGUUUUGUCUUUUCAGUUGGAUCACGUAAGUUACAAAGCAAAGAACAAGCAUUCUGAAGUUCUUUCAGGAAGAGACCACAGCUUGACAGAGAGAAGCACCUCACAGCAGAAGAGGAAAGCUGGGGUGCUGGAUGACCGCACUGACCAUAUCUGGGGUGUAAACUAAGGUAAGUAAACCCCAGAAAGGCUGGGGUUUGAAGGAGCGUCCCCCCAUUUAAAGCAAGAGGUUCAGGGGGCUGGGGAUGUUGCCCUGUGGUAGUGCUUGCCAAGUGUUCGCCAGACCCUGGGUCUGAGCCCUAACCUAGCAUUACAUAUAACCUACAUAUAACCUACAUAUAACCUAGACAAGGGGUUCCUCCUGGAAGGGUGAUACAUGUUAGAGCCCCAGCUAUCAGGAGGAUGGACGGAGGGGAUCACAUGGACCUGUUAAGUUCAAGGGCAGUCUGGCACAUGAAUACAUGAGGGCCAGAGACCUGGCUGAACAAGUGAGGGCUUGUUGGGCUCGCCAACCUGCACCCCAGCCCAGCCCAGCCCAGGCCCAGGAUCACAGGGUAGGAGAGACCUCCCGGAAGGCAUUCUCUGACUUCCAUUACACAGUGAGACAUGAGCAGGCACACACACACACACACACACACACACACACACACACACACCAUAAAUGUAAUUUAUAACCCCCCAAAAUGAAAAUAUAACAAACCCCAAUUUUUAUCUUUUUCCACAUAUUUUUUAAGAUCCAUUUUUUAAAAUUAUUUUUAUUUAUACGAAUGGGGUGGGGAGCACAUAGUGUGCAGGUGCCCACAGAGGCCAGAGAUGACAGAGGCCCCUGGAGCCAGAGAUACAGAUGGUUGCAAGGUAUCUGACUGAGUGCUGAGAACUGAACUCAGGUCCUCUGUAAGAGCAGCAUCAGCUUGUCUAACCAUGGAGCCAUGGCUACAGUCCUCCACAAACGCCACCACUCAGUGCAUAUUUAAAUCAUACUAAAUACUAGGUACAUAAUCGUAUUAAAUUCUUAAACUGUGCCAUCCUAUCAAACAAUAAAAGAUAGCCAGUUGUCUUUUUUUUUUAAUUUUAAAAACAAUGGUUUUCCAGGAAAUAAACAGCCCUUAAACUGAUCCAAGAAAUUGUCACAAAUGUUUAUGAAACACAGCUAAGAAAUGCAGAGGAGCCAACAAGAUGGCUCAGCAAGUGAAGGCCCCUGAUGCCAGACCUGCUGACCCCAUUUCCAGCCCCCACGGUAGGGAGGAGUCCACUCCCACAAGUUGUGUGUAUGUGUGUGGGGGUGCGUGUGUGUACAGAUGUGUGCACCCAUGUAUGCACGAGGGGAGACCAGACAUCAAUAACGGGUGUCUUCUAUCAUUCCCCAACUUCAUUUUUAUGUUUAAUAUUUUCUUUCAUUGUUUGUACUCAUGCAUGUGUACCCGUGUGAACACACUGCACAAGUGUGAAGGUGCCUGUGGAAGCCACCUGGUGGGAAUGCUGGGAACCAAAUCCAGGUCCUCUAGAAGAGCAGGAAGCAUUCUUAACCACUGAGCCAUCUCUCCAGCCCCUCCAGCCCACUCUUUAUAGACAGGGUUUCUCACAGAACCUGGAGCGAUCAGUCCAGGCUGCCUAGUUCCUGAGCCCCACCUCUGCUCCCGGCACGACAGCGCCAUGCUCCGGGAGCUCCAGAUACAGAUUCAGUCCUCACACUUACACGGCGAGGACUUGAUGCACAAAGCCAUCUCAGCCAGGCCCUGUACCUAUUUUCAAAUGUUUGCUAGGCUGCUGGUCCUGGGUGCUAUAGGAAGGCAGGCUGACCGGCAUGGUAGCAAAUGCCUUUGAUAUCAGCAUCCUGGAAGCAGAGGCAGGCAGAUCUCUGUGAGGCCAGCCUGGUCUAUACAGUAGGUUAAAGACAGUCAGACCCACAUACUCUCUCUAUGUAACGCCUUUGGUUCAGUCCCCACCACCCAUAAACUAGCUAUGGUGGCCACAUCUAUAAUCACUGUAAGCAGGAGGCAGAGCAAGAGGAUCACGACAAGUCCAGGCCAGCCUGGCGUUGUAGUGAAUGUGUGUAUGCAGCUGUCACCUGAGAGCUGAGGACAGAGAUGCAGAGCGUGUAUAGAUGGCCCUCAAACCAGAAAUUAGAGCCAGAUUGCGAAGAAAUCUGGAUAAAGAGUUGUCAGCACCACCUGUACCCAGGGUGUGUUUCUGCCUGAGCUGGUCGUAGGGACACAGCUACGUAAUGAGAACAUACUGCUCAAAAAAAAAAAAAAGGAAGGGAGGGGAGGGGAGGGGAGGGGAGGGGAGGGGAGGGGAGGGGAGGGGAGGGGAGGGGAGGGAAGGGGAGGGGAGAGAGAAAAGGUAAAGGGAACAUGGGAACCUAGACGUGCACAUUUGCAGGGAGCUGUAAGAAAGGACACACUGCUGGCGAGCUGGUGUUAGAGCUGAAACUGGGCAGAACUGCUUAAUCAAAACCUAAAUUUAACUUUAGCCAAAAUUCCCCAUCUGAGUAAGCCCUGCCCACAAAGACCAAUCUAAAGAGGCAAUGGGGUCUCUUCUCCUUCCUAUUGAUUCUCUGAGAGAUGUAAGUGACGUGUGCUCACAAUCUGAUUCCUUUUUUUAAAAAAAAAAAAAAAA
This is a long non-coding RNA of Mus musculus (house mouse), 48115 nucleotides long. RefSeq annotates it as predicted gene, 46110. The record is from RefSeq and is a predicted model, not a curated record. Lineage: Eukaryota; Metazoa; Chordata; Mammalia; Rodentia; Muridae. The transcript is spliced from 2 exons.